AUCCUUCAUAGAUGGUCUUAAACAUUUUGUUUGAUAUAUUUGGGAUUUGUGCUGUGAUUAACUUUAAUUCCUUAUGAUUCAAGAAAAAGUGAUUCUAGUAAUAUGACAUUUUAUAUAAUACGUGCUAAAAUAUUAUUAAAAAAUUCACUGAAAGUAUUGAAAUUCGUGUACCUGUAUGAAGGCAUUGUCCUGAUUAACUAAUGGUUUUAUAUUUGAUGUCUUACAGGAAGUCGAAGUAUUGAACACGGUGUUGUAAACUCAUUCAACAACGAAGGCAAUGGGUUACAGGACUUCAGCAAUUCAACAAUCAUAGUUGGAAGUUGUAGCUGUACCUCAACUUGUGUGCAACUGAAGACUCAUCAAACUGGUUUGAUUAAGAAAAACAUUGAAACUGUAUGAGACAUGUUAAACCUUUAAGAUGAGGCCAUAAUGUUUUCAAACAGUUAUUGACUGAAGAACCCUUUGGAAAACAAAGUAGCCAUUAGCCAAUAGGGUUGAAGAAAGCUCAAUUUUUGGAAAUCUUUCUAUCAUGCUGAUAGUUGAUUGUAUUUUGGCACUUUAGAUGAACUUGGUAGUUGAGUGGUCCCCAGAAGCAGGACCAAUUUGUAUUUUGAUUAUUUAAAGUGACACCAAUCUUCUCUCACAUAGAAGGCUCCAAGAGUUGGUUCCACCACUUCUUUGAUCUCGGCUUAGGGCACUUCUGGUUCCAUUAAUUAAGGGUUAGUGUGGUUCUGUUCUACUACAAUUAUGUCUUCUUAGUCUGUUGGACUGAGAACCAGAAUGAAGUGUAACACUACAUUCAAUGCCCACUUACUAAUCAUUACCACAUUUUAUAUCUUGCAAGAAGGAAGUCAUUAGAAACUCAUUCAAUAAUGAGGGUAACGCCAACCAAUAUUUUCACAACACGACAAUCAUAAUUCUUGUAUGAAUUUAAAGUUUCAUUUUUCUGGUCAUGGCAAACUUUUUUUUUAUAAAACCCAAGGAAAAAUAUAAUUUAUUUUUUUUACAGUGAUCUAAACUUUGUUUCUGAAUAGUAAUUCAGUCUCGAAAAGUUAUGGUUAGUUUAUUAAGACUGAUCUUAAAAAUUUCUUUAAUGUUCUCUUGAUUUCAUAUUCUCCUCAGCUUAGUCUUAAUACAAAGUUCUUUAUCUUUUUUUUUCAUAAUUAGUACUCCAAAAAAUAGUUUGAAUUUUUAAGAAGAUAAUUAAUCCUUCAUAUCCCAUGUUCUCUUAGCUCUGUUGUAAAUUGAACCUAAAACGCCAAAAUGAAGAGAUAUUGCAAAAAAAGGGCUGUGAACUCUAAAUCCACGUCUGCAAAGUUGAAAGAGAAACGAAAGGGAGUUACUCAUAAUUUCCUUUCUUUCUCGAGUGGUUCAGAGAACGUUGUGGAACGUUUCAAGAGCCACUACGAGAAAAUCAUGAAAUAAAAAUCAAUUUUAGAGACAAAAUAAUUAGUUACUAUAGUGACUAAAUUAGAGACCAUUUUAUGGACUAAAUAAAUUUUUGGUUUCUAAAUUAGUUUCUAUUAUUGUUAAAUGGUUUCUAAAUUGGUAUCUAAUUAACAACCAAGGUUUUUGCUAUCAAAUUUAGAAACUAAAUAAUUGGUAGUUAAAACCUUGGUAGCUAAUUAGAUACCAAUUUAAAAACUAUUUAACAAUAAUAGAAACUAAUUUAGAAACCUUUAGUUUCUAAAAUGGUAUAUAAUUUAGUUACUAUUACAACUAAUUAUUUUUUGUCUUUAAAAAUUUGUUUCUAUUUGAUAAUUUUCUUGUAGUGGUCUCAGAUGGUUGGCUCCUCCAUUCAUGCAGGUCUUCCUCCAUCUCCAACGGUCGCUAAAUUUCGGCGGCCUAACAAUGUCACUAAUCUUGGUUUUGAAGUUGGGGCAAUUUAGUUUUCUCCAUCAAUAAAUAACGCCUCCCUUUGCUCUGAAAAUCAUCUCUCACUCACGCUUCUUAUUUUUUUUCUCUUCCUCUCUUACUCUUCACUCAUUUAUUAUUUUAUUUUACUUUAUAAUUUUUUGGAUUUGUUGGGUUCUUACUCUUUUAAGAGUAGUUUGCUAGUUCUGAUUCUUGGAAAUUUUCUGUUGUAUCUUGAAAGACUUGCACAAUACACCACAUAUAAGUUCUUUCAAACAUUGAUCACUCACGUCUCGGAAAAUCAACUUUUGAUAAUGUUUUAAAGUGUCAUUUACCACAAAUUAUUUGCACAUCUUGUAUGAAUUUAUUUCAUUAGUCAUGAUCAUUUAAGUAAUUUCUUCCCCGAAUAAUGUGAGAAAAUGAUCUUCACCACUUUAAUUAAGAUGCUACACAUUUUCCUUUUAUAAAUUGGUUAUAAUUAUUAUAAUGACAAAUUAUAUUAUUACAAAGAGAUAAUAUGUUAUUAUGUUGCAUAAACUUAAUAUGAUUUAUUAUGCAUUAGUAUUAAUUAUGAUUUAAAUCUCAUUUCCAAUCAUUAUUAUUUAGGAAUAGUCCUUGAAAAAUUGUAGUGGAAGUUUUAUGAAUGAUAAUAAAAAAAAUGUAAAGGAGCAAGUUAUUUAUUUGAAAACUAAUUAUACAAAAAGAAGUUAAAAAUGAAUACUUCAUUAAUUAUAUGGGCAUUUAUUAUUCUGAUAUUUUUUAAUUUGGAGAUUUGCUAAGAUACUUUGGAACUAAUUCAAUUAUAAGGGAGAUUAGAAUGAGAAAGCGUUAAACCUACAGGUGGGAGAAGUUGCCACAGAUGAAGAGCUUGUGAGUGGAACCCAUUUUUUGUUUGUUUUGGAAUAUGCAUUUGUUUGUCGUUGGACUAAUAUGCAUUUAAAAAUUCAUUCACAAGUGUCUAUUUCCUAAUUUCUAUUCAAGAUGCAAAAUAUUUGAGUGUGUUGUGUCUCGCUCUGUGUUGUGUUCGUUAAAAGAAAUAAGGAAAAUGAUAUAAUGACAAUCUUGUUCCAGUAUACAAUUCUAUUUUUUUAUCUAAAAUUUUAAUUUUUAUAUGAAAUGAUAAAAAUAUUUUUUUUAUAUCAUAAAUAAAGAGUUGUAGAGUGGGGCUUGUCCAUCUAUCAUUGCUCAAGAAAUAAAGUAUUUUUGUGUACACAAUGAUUUUGGCAUUAAUGGCUACAUUCUUUUCUACCCAAUGGAGCUACACUUGUGCCCUUGAUGUGUGGUAUCGCAUUCACUGCUUCAUCGUUUUCGGUAACUUGUUUUCUCUUUCUAAAGAUUAUAAAACGAAAAAGAUACGCCCAAUUAUGGAUGGCAAAGUGGUGGUACAAUAAGACCGUAUAACUCACUCUAUCUGAUAUGCAGAUUCAAUGGGUCACACAUGGGGAGUGGGGAAAUCUCUUUGUUCGGAUUUCUUUAUUUUUAUAUUUUUAUUUAUUGAAUUAUUAGUGAUAUUGAUUUUGUUUUGUUAGAUAUUUUUUUAUUAGAGCUUAAUUCUCUAUUUAGCACCAUUUACACUUUUAUUUUCCUAUCUAGCACCCUUUUGUUUUUAUUUUCCUAUCUAACACCCUUUCAAAAAUAAAUAAAUAAAUGUUAAAUUAAUUUUAUUUUAUAAUUUUAAUUUUGAAUACAUUAAAAAAUAAGUAUUUUUAAUGUUUAAAAUAGUUAGAAAUAUAAUUAAUGAAUAAAUAAAUGAGUUUUUACAAAAUAAAAAUAAAAAAGUAAUAAAUUAAAAAUGUUUAGUUUAAAUGUUUUUUUAAGAAUGAAGAAAAUAAAAAAUUAAACUCUAUAACAACAUAAAAGUUGAAUCUAUAAACAUAAAUUAGUAUUUAUUUUUAUUAUUAUUGAUGAUGUAAUCAUGUUAAUUUCAAGUAAAAAAUACAGGACAUAAUUAUCAAAAAAUCAAUAUUGAAAUGUCUAUCCUUAAUGCAAAAUCCUACAAAAAAAACUAAUGCAAUUGUUACACUUAAUGCUUAAAAAUGAGAAGAAAAAAAAUGUAAAAAUAAAUAAAUAUAGAAAAUAAAAACAACAACAUUGCAACAGAUUUUUCAUGAUACGAAAAACUAUUUGAUGGAACUCAUAAAUGAAGAGUAUUGACCUCCAUACACUGGUCAAAUACUAUGCCCAAGUCUCGACAUGAAAAUAACUUCAAAGGGAAGACUUAAGUCAAGUCGAAUAAGGACUGAUAUUGACAUAAGAGAACAACAUGAUCGAACAAAAAAAUGUUUAUAUUGUCAAACACCAGGACACACAUAAAGAACAUGUCCCAACAUUAUUGGAUUGUGUUUUUCUCGUCCUUAAUUAUGUUUCAUUUCGCACAAACUAUUUAAUGUACCAUUGAAGAAAAUAUUAAAUGAAUGAUCAUCUUUCAUGUAUUUUUCUUUUUAUAAUCAACAUCUACUUGUUUAGUAUCGCCUUAUGUCUCUUAUCUUUAUCUUGUUUGGAUUUUUUUUUUAUAUCUUGUAUAUUUAUCUUAUCUUGUUUUUCCUUUAUUUUAUAUCUUAUAUGUUUUUAGUUAUUAUUUUUUCUGUCAUUUUUUAUUUAUUUUUGUUUUUAUUUUAUUAUUGUUGUUUUUAUUUUCUAUACUUAUUUAUUUUUUCAUUUUUUCCUUCUUAUUUUUGAGCAUUAAGUGUAACAUUUGCAUUAGUUUUUUUUAGGAUUUUGCAUUUAGGGUAGACACUUCAAUAUUAUUUGUGUGUCCACUAUUAAUUAAUACUAAUUGACUUUGGUUUUUUUAUAAUUAUGUCCUGUAUUUUUUACUUGAAAUUAACAUUAUUACAUCAUCAAUAAUAAUAAUAAAAAUACUAAUUUAUGUUUAUAGAUUCAACUUUUAUGUUGUUGUAGGGUUUAAUUUCUUAUUUUCUUCAUUCUUAAAAAAAUAAUUUUAAACUAAACAUUUUUAAUUUAUUACUACUUUUUUUUAUUUUGUAAAAACUCAUUUCUUUAUUCAUUAAUUAUAUUUCUAACUAUUUUAAACAUUAAAAAUACUUAUUUUUUAAUGCAUUCAAAAUUAAAAUUAUAAAAAAAAAAAAUUUAUUAUUUAUUUAUUUAUUUUGGAAUGGUGCUAGAUAGGGAAAUAAAAAACAAAAGGGUGCUAGAUAGGAAAAUAAAAACAAAAGGGUGCUAGAUAGGGAAAUAAAAGCAAAAGGGUGCUAGUUAGAAAAAUAAAAGUGUAAAUGGUGCUAGAUAGGGAAUUUACCCUUUUAUUAGAGUAUUAAAGUUUAAUUAAUUUUUUUUAUGGUUCAAAAAGUAAUUUAGGGGACUACAACUAAGUAAAUAGGUCUAAAAUAAAAAUAAAAAAGUAGCUGGAGAGUUCACCAACCCUUCAUGGAUCACCAAUUUUAAUCCAUAUAACUUAGAUAGAUUAAUCGAUUUAUCUCAUUUUUUAUGAAUCAGACCAAAACAUACAAGUCACCCCGUUUUGUAAAUCUUACACCAUGACAUCAUUCAAUUUUAUAGGUCUUUGUUUUAAAUUAUUUAAUUUUAAAUAUUUUGUUAGAUAACUAAAUUUAAAUUUAGUAAAUUUUAUUCUUAUUGUUUGAAUAAAAUAUUUCAAUUAUAUUAAAUUAAAAAAAAAAAAUUAAAUAUUACAAUUAAAAAAAUAUUAAUAUUAAUAUUAAUAAUAUUUUGUAGUGAAUUUUAAUUGAUGUUGUUUUUUUUUAAUUAAAGUUCGUCAAGAUUUUUCAUUUGAUAUUUGUAAAAAAAUUAUCAAUUGAUGUUAUGACAUUGUUUCACUUGGAGUACAAUUAUUUAGGAUGACUUUUGAUGAAAGUUUUUUUACCAUGUUUACGGUUGGGGAUUUUUCCCUAUCUUUUUUAUAUCAAUGUGAGCUGAAAAAAUUUCACUAUUUUGACAUUGGUAAAACAAAACAAUCUUAAUUAAUAUUUAGGUUAAAGUUUAGUUAAUAUUAAAAAAAAAAUUCUUAGCAAACUAUUGGAAAAAAUCUCUAUUGAUGAUGAAAAAUCACUGCAAAUAUUGAUAAAAAGAAAUAAUCAUGAUAGAGAUUUAUUGAAAAAAUAUAAUUCACCUCCCUAAAAAAAAUAUUUCCGACAAAUAAAAUUUUAACUAAACAAUGAAUUAUAUUGUUCUAGAAAAAAUUCUAACAAACUUCUAUAAAACAACUCCAAUCACAUCAAUAAAAAGAAUUUAUAUUUGACAUUAACCAAAAAAUAAUAAUCUUAAUUAAUAAUAUUUCAAUCUUAGUCAAGCUAAUAACACCCUAAUUAAAAUCAAAAUAAGAAAAAACAAUGAAGAUCAAAACAUGAAUUUGAGUAUAUGAAAAAUUUAAUAUUUUUUCCUAAAUUAAAAUAUGAAAUUCUAUAAUUUUAAACAAUCAAAUUACUUUAAAAAAAUUAAAAUUAAUUUCUUGUUAAAUUUUUUAUCCAAACAACAUAUUUUAUCACAAAACAUUUAAAAUUUUCUGAAAAAAUAAUUGUGUUUUUAAAAUUUCUCGCCGAAACACACUAUUAAUGUAUAGCAAGAAAUGGAAUGUUUUGAAAAUAAAAUUUUCUGUAAGUUUUCUUCUGCAUUAAAAUUCCAUGGUUAGGCGUUAUUUUUUUCCUGACAAAACUCUGGAGUCAUCAUUUGUGACUUUUAUAAUUAAUAAAAGUGCUGAAUUACUAAUUGGGCUGGACUCUAGAACAAGCGGUAUUGUUUUCAGCCCAAUUAGUCUAAAUCCUCGUUUUGCAUUUUUAUACCUCCCUUCCUUUCACUUUUUUGUCAAUUUUGAUGGAAACUAACUUCUGUGAUAUAAUUCUUUUAAUAGAUUGUGAAAAAUACAUUCUUCAAAGUGGUGUUUUCAAAAAAUACAUUUUAAAAGUAAACGGGCAACGCAAAAAAAAAAAACAGAAAGAAAGAAGUUAACAAAAUCAACGUAAAUAGUAUAGGCCUUUUUUAUGCGUAGAUAAUGAAAUCCAUCUUAAUACCCAAUUCCAUAGCCACAACGCUAUGAGCUGUCUUGCUUAAAAUAAAGGAAAAAAGACAAAUUCUCUUUGCACCUCCAUACUGCAUCUUUAUAUUUUUUUUUAAUUUAAGAAUACCUUUCUAAGUAUGGUAGAAAGUGUUGGGUAUUCUUCUUUAUUUUCUAGUGGUGGUGGUUACUUAAGGUGAUUGGUGAUGAAUAUUAGUGAUUGAGCUAAGUUUUAUGUUGUUUUUACUAGUGGUGAUGGUGUUUUUGUUCCAUUAUUUAAUUUUUCAACUUUUUUUGAAGCCACAAAACCAAAAAAAGAACAACAAGGUGCAAAAAUGAAGUGAAAUAUUCAAAAAAGAGUUUAUCUUUGCAUUGGAGAAUGUUAAAUACAAUGAAUCUUCUCGCCAAGACUCUUACACUCAAAUAAUGAAAUUAUUCUCUCAAACGCUAUGACUGGAAAAUAAUGAAAGUGUUGCGACCAAAAGGAUACAAGGGUGCAAGAAUGCAAAUGAGAUUAUUUAAAAAUGUAAGGUUAUGCUUUAUUUAUAAUUUUUUUAAAUUUUUUUUAGAAAAAUUUAAAAAUAUUUUUCACAAUUAAUAUGGAGGUGUGAGAUGUACGGAAAUUAAUAAAUUUUUUUUUCUUAAUUAUUCUUGAAUUAUUAGAAUUAUUAUUAUUGUUCUCUUUUUUUAGUUUAACUAACAUUUAUUAUUAAUUUUUAGUUUGUAUGAAACAACAUUAAAUUACAUUUUGUAGGAGAUAGGAACAUAUUAACCUACCUGUACGGGUGUUGAUAAUAUAUAUUCUCUCCUUUAUUGAAUAUAGUUAAUAUAUAUUCUCGUCAAAACUCGAGCUCGAAUGCUUAGAUGUUGUAUCCGAGACAAUUCCUUUACAACUGUAAGGUUUGAGUGUUUGGAGGUCGCACUGAGAUGAGGGGAGUUCUAUUUGUUGACAAUAUUUUGACGAUCAAGUUAGUGAAAACUCGAGCUCGAAUGCUUAGAUGUUGCAUCCAAGACAAUUCCUUUACAACUACAAGGUUUGAGUGUUUGGAGGUCGCACCGAGAUGAGGGGAGUUCUACUUGUUGACAAUACUCUAACAAUCAAGUUAGUGAAAACAUAAAAAUAUCAAUGUAGUAUGUAUUGCAUAGAAUAAUAUUCCUCUUAUUUUUUGGGGUCAUCCUCUAUUUAUAGAAUUUUUCAUCAGAAUAAUAUCACAACAUAUUUAAAUAAUAACAAGCAUAUCUUUUAUGUUCAGAAUAAUAUCACAACAAAUUAAAUAAUAACAAUCAUAUAUUUUCUUUUAUCGAUAUAACCCGGACAGUACACAAUAGUCUAGCCUCAAGCCGAGCGAGCGAGGUGAUGAGGUUAUAGUAAAUAUUCACAUUAAAAACCUUUGCAUUAAAAGUGGUUUUGCACGUGACUCAAGGCAUUAUAUCACAAGACGUGGAUUUGUUAGUUAUUAAUGCAGUCCGAUCGUAGUCGUCGACCAAGUUAGUCCACCCGUACAAAUGUCGUUGACCAACUUAAUUCAAUCUUAGGAUUUGGCCAAAUUGGUUUGCCCGAGAAAUGUCUUUGAUCCACUUGGUUUGAUCUUAGGAUUCAACCAAGUUGGUUCGUCCAUAGAAAUGUCGUUGACCCACUUGAUCCGAUCUUAGGAUUCGACCAAGUUGGUCCGCCUAUAGAAAUGUCGAUAACCCACUUGGUUCGCUCUUAGGAUUCUGUCAAGUUGGUUCGUCCGUAGAAAUGUCGUUGACCAACUUGGUUCGAUCGACAUUCCAGAAUUUUCCCAUUUUCGCUUGAACAAAAUUUCAUUUUGUUUGAGCGAAAAUGGACUAAAAAGUACUUUAGAAUUGUUAUUUUAUUAAAUAUACUAGACCAAAGUAAUAAUUUCCCUGCUAGAGUUAGAUAGUUACUCUAAAUCAAAAUCACACCACCAAUACUUAGCAACAUUAUCCUUUAAGUAAUUCAUCAAACUAUUUACAUUCAUUCAUUUACUUAUUCACAUCAAAACAAUAUAAUUUUAUAACAUCUACCAUGUCUAAAAUUUCGCAUUCUAAUCUCAAUCAAAUUCUAACAUACUCAAAAUAACCAAUCAUGCAAGAAAUUUUGAGACUGGUGACCACGUUACCUCUACAUCCAGAUAUUCUAGCGUAGGGUUCUAUUUGAAAUUUGAAACUAGCUUCCCUUACCUGAACUUGAGCAAAUGUUCACUAAGAGCUCCAAAUCCUAUAAUUCUUCUAGGGUAACUUAACCUCACCAUAGAGUCUUGAUAAAAAUCUAACUACAUCAUUAUGACCUUGACAGAGAUUAAUUAUGAAGAUAAAAGUAUUACAUGCAAGCUUAAACUAAAGGCAAACCUAACGAGAUAAAAAAGAACUCAAAGAAAAAUGAGUCAAAAUGAACUUAAUUUAUUUAAAAAUUUGACAAGGUAAAUCUUAUACAGUUUACUACCAAGAGUUCAAUGAUAGACUCCGAUUAUUGAUAUGAUGAGCAAGGAUGUUAAAAUCUAAGAGAAAAAAGAGAGAAAAGAAAAAAUAAUUUUUUUUAAAUAAUGAUCCUUUUAAAAUAACACCCGAAUAACUGAAUUUUUAUAUUUAUAUAGACUUUUUACUUUAAUAAUAAAUAUUUCGGUGUCAUUUUAAUUAUCAUUUCUUCUCUAAAAUUAAUUUUCUCAGUACUUACAACAAAUAUAUUUACCUUAAUAAAUACACAAAAGAAAAAGAAAGAUUAUAAAGCUAGAAUUUUGUAUUGAUGAGUUUUUGUCCUUCUUCAAUCAUCCAUUUUAACUAUAUCUUUAAAUUAAAAAUUGCUAAAGUAAAUUAACUCAACCAGUUUCAAAUUCUUAUAAUAACUUACCGAGCACUCUUAUUAUAAUUUACAAUUUUUCAUUUGUUUUUAUAGAAAGAAGAAAAAACAGUGUCUUGAAGAAUAGCUAAAGGAAAUAGUUUUCUGCUUCUUUUUUUUGUUUUAAAAUUUGAAACUUAAUAUUGUUAACAGCUUUUUCCUCUAAACAAUUUCCAAAAUUAUGCCCAUUUUUUAAGAUUAUGGUAGAGUAAGAGCAUCACCAAACUAUUAAGUCAGAUAUACUUCUUUAUCAUGCUUGGUUUUAUUAUUAUUAAUACUAUUAUUUUAUAAUUAUUAUUACUUUAUUUUAUUAUAAUUAUAACUAUUUUAUUAUAAAAUAAAGGAUUAUAAUAAAAUAAAGUAAUAAUAAUUAUUUUAUUAUAAUUAUAAUAAAAUAAAACAAUUAUAAUUAUAAUAAAACAAAAUAACUUAUAAUAAUAAUAAUACUGAUAUAAACUGGUUUAGUAAUUUUGAUGAUAUUCUCAUUCUAUGAUGAUCUUAUGUUUGACUUUUAUUUCUUUAUUUAAAAAUUUAGUCUAAAUGACAAGGGUCUGUCCUGUUUAUUAUAAUGGUUUCGUGUUAUCUUUUAUUUUAUUAUAUUAAAGUUAAUUAUCUUAUAAUGGUUUUUUUAUCAAAUAAAAUAAAAUAUAAUACAAUUGUGAUUAUGUUAAUUAUUUUAUAUAAUUAUAUAUAUUAAAAUAAUUUAAUUAUCACUACUACUGUCCGAAAAGAAGGAAGUUUACAGGUUUAAUUAUUAAUGGACAAAAUGUUACUCAUUUCUUUUUGUGUUUUUGAAGUUUCAUAUAUUAAAUUUUUAAUAUGAUAUUUAUAUUUAAAAAAAUAAUUUUAAUUCUUUUAACUAAGACGUUAACUUCAAUAUAAUAUUUUGUGAUUAUUUUGAAAAUUUCUAUUUUAGUCCGUAUUAAUUAAAACCUUAAAAAGACUAUUAGACAAUCAAUUUUCUGAAUAUAUUUAAUAUGUGUUGAAAUAAAUCAAAAAGACAUUUUAAAAAAUAUAAAGUAAAUUUUAAAAAAAAUUGUGCACUGGGACACAUAAUUCCCAAUUCACCGACACAUUUGUAGGAACUGAACAUAGUGGUACUCUACUAUUUCCUCUUUAACAGAGCUACUGAUACCUACAGGUUAACAUGCCUUGUCUAUUCUCCUCCAUCUUCGGAAAAGCACUGACCUUUAUGAGAAAAAAAUUGUGAAAAGAUGGUGAUACUCAUAUAAAUUUUUGUAUGAAUUUUACAGAAAUAGUAUAUGCUUCAAUAACUUGGCUUUGACCGCUUGCACGUUCUUAGAGUAUAUUUUACGCCAUUGGUCCACCUGUGCCCUACUGUUGUUGGUUUUAGUAUUAGAAUAUUCUGUACUUGUCUCUCCUCUUUAAAUACAUGAAAGAAGAUUUAGAAAGUGUGAAUCUAAAAAUAGAUUCCUUCUUCUAUCAAAAAAGCUCUCUUCUUCUGUUAAUUUUUCAGUUUUUGAUAUAUGUCAAACCAGCGGAUGUAAAGUGAUGAAUUCAUUCAACAACAACAAUCAGGACAAUGGCACUCAGAACUUCACUAAUGCCAAAAUCAUAAUUACUGGAGGUUAUUGCUGUUGCUGUACUUCGUUUGAUUUGCAUGGUAUCAUUAAACUAAACAAAUACUCUGUUUUUUUUUUUGUCUGUAUUAGGUCUUUCUCAGGUACUGGUCUCUCAAUCAAGACUUCGACGAAUUCCCCUUCACUUCUAAGUCACUAUUCCCUAACAACAUUUUUAGAUUCUCCAUAGCCACUUUCCACUGUUUACUACAAAGACAGUAAUGGAAGCUUCUUCCACCGGAUCCAAUUCCAGUGACGUCUUUGUAUCUUCUCCUUUUGGGUGUCAACUAUUUUUCCAAGCAGAUUAGAUCUGAACGUCUGUGCCUUAUUUUGUGUUCAGCACCAGGUCUCAAGUAUUUAUGCAAAAAGUCCCUUAAACGUCAAGUAAUUUACAGUGUUUAUACUGUCAAGAAGCGCUGCAAAAUAUACCGUGAUAUUUUUGGUCUAACACAGUGACUAUACUCAUAGCCGCUAUCCUACACUCAUUUUUUACAUUAAUUCAAAACACGUUACUUACGCUCGUAUCUUCUUCUUCGCGCGCGUUUUCCUUUCUUUUUUAUCUUUUGAGGUUUUUGUAAGUUUCUCUCAUUCACUCACUUAUUCUUCUGCAUCCUCCAUUGCUUUUUUUUUUCCUCUUAUUAUUUAUUUGUUUCUGCAUCUUAUUUUGUUUCAUUGUUUAGGGUUUCCUUGUGCCUCCAUUGAUCUUCAUCGUUGCUAGUCGUCUCUGCUCUUCACCACCACCACCUUCACGUACAAGGUUGGUGGUAUUUUUUUAUAUUUUUAAUCAUUGUAAAAUUUAUUUAAAAUAGGUAGAAAGUGAUUUUUAUUCAAUUUUUUUGGAAAUUUCAUUUAGAAUAUAUUUGAUGGAGGAGUCCUCACAUUGAAGAGAAAAGUGAUAGAUUUGGAAUCGUCAAGAAGUAGUGUGAAAAUGAAAGUUGCUCGAGAUGAGAAGACAAGGCCCUUGGCCAAUACCCAAAGGGAAUUGAGUUCACUAAAAAUUCCAAAAAUCCAUCAUUUACUAUUAUUUAUUUUAUUUUUUUUUUGUAUUAUUUAGGUCUUUUUUAAAGUUUAGGAGGUUUUAGUUCUCAUACUUAUACUAAUAAAAAAAUUCUGAAUUUUUUUAUUUAUUUUUUCCAGUAUAAAUUAGUGAUUUAUCAAUAGUGUAUGAGUUACAUAAAUAAAUAGGAAUAUGUUAUUAUAGUGUUUGUAAUACAUUUUAUCAAUGUAUAUAAUUUGAUUCUUUGAAUAUAUGUAUCUAGGCUAACUGAGUUUUAAUUGUACGAGUUACUUUAGAUGGGAUUAGUAUUAAAAAGAAUGAACUAAAAAAAUAAAAAAUAUUCAUCUAAAAUGGUGGUUAUGGUAAAAUAAUCGUUGUUUUAAACCUUUCAGGAGAAUCUAAAACGACAGCUUUUACUAUAGUCAUAUUCUUUACUCUGGAACAUAAGACUGUGUGCUGAUCAACAACGGCUAGGAAAUCGUCGUUUUAAGGUUAAAAUAGCUGCCGUUUUUAACUAUUUUUGCAGUAGUGGAUGAAUAGAAUCUUCAUAUGUUCUCAUGAGCUGGUGCUGUAAUUCACAAGGAUUCUUAUGUUGAAGCUAUGCGCAGGAUAUAAACAAAUUAAGGAUAAAAGUUAAAGAGAUAUAAACCAAGUUCUCUUAUGUCUGUAUUAAGGAGGAAGCGUGAAAGAUAACUUCUCACCCAAAUUUCUCUAGAAUUGUUAACUUUACAUGUAUAUUGAGGUUUCCCAAAUUCUUCUUAGGGUCCAAAACAAUUUGUUUGAUGUAUUUGGGAACUUUGUUCUGACUCCUUUGGAUUUGAUUUAUCUUCCUUGAGUAUGCAUAUCUAUAUGUUGUUUUCUUAGGCAUAAGACCGUCAGAGUAACAAGAGAAUACAUAAAUGAGAUCUUGAAUUCUCUGGACAAAAUGCGUGUUACAGGGCAAUAUGAAUUAGCUUUUUUGGUUUCUAAAUUAUCUUGGGAUUGGGGUUUCAGUAACCAACAUGAAAUAUGAUACACUUAUACUUCAAUCUGUGUCAAAUACAAUACUUAUCAUUGAAGUAUCUAUAAAGUAAUAAUAUAUCACUUAUAGUAUCCGCUUAUUUUCAAAAUAAGCGUACCGUAUUCAAUACACAGUAUCCAUGCAAUAUGUAAAUCAUGCAAUAUGGUUUAAUAUUAAAUUUAAUGCAACAGAACUAAUUGCUUAACUAGUUGAAAAAAACAGUAAUUUAAUUGUUUGACAUGGUGUUGCAGGUUCUUUAGGAUUUGGCCUCUUAAAGUUCCAGGUUUGCGACAGGAUUUAUAAUUUUGAAUUGGAUUGCACUCUCUUCAGAAUCUGUGGAGCUUUUACGUGCCAAUCAAAGUUUGAUCCACAAGUAACUAAGAAUUCAGUUGUUAAUACAUCAAGUAAUUUACCUGUAAGUACUUUCUUUCACCUUGGACUCUUUAAUCCCUUAUCUCAGCCAUAACUGAUUGGGACCUUGGCCUUGUGAACCCAAUAAAGUUCUCUUUCUUGUGAGACUAUUUUAGUGUACCAAAAUCGUAACCAAGUAGCUAGAGGGCCUACAGUCCUUGUUUAUGGGCUAUUUUCUGUUUUAAUAUAUACUUGAAAACCAGUUAUGUAUUUCGGCAUUGUGCUGAGUGUGAAUCCAAAUUAAUUGAGUACGUUAAAUUUUAUAUUGUUUAUUUUCUGAAGUUGAUUCGUUGGUUUGGGAUGUGAUAUGGUUGUUUCCCUUAUGAUUUUUGUUCUCCAUUCCCGUGGUAAUGAUCAAGAUAGUUCUGUUUUCCCCGGUAUAUUUAAGUAUUGUGAAUUUGGACAAGGGAAAACAAAAUUGUUUCGUGGCAGGACAAGAUGAAUCUAAAAGUUGAAUUUUUCUUUAAAUAAAAUUUAUUCUAAAUACUUCGUGAUGCAGAAAAUGAAUGGACUUAGUUUCCAGAUGUGUUCAUGUUUAACAUCAAAAUAUUCACAGAUAGCUUUGAGAUCUGUUUUUUUUCCUAAUUUGAUACUUUAUCUCACCUGAUAUUGUUAUUCUAAAUGGUUAAAAUAUGAUAAAUUGGUAAUAUACUUUAAAAAUGUUUUUAGUGAUUGUUCUAACAAAUAAAUCUUAGGGUCUUCAUUCAUUUUUUUUUAUUGAUUUUGGUUUUGAAAGUCAUAUUUAAGACUUUUUUUUUUACUUUGUUAAUUUCUUUACUAAAGGUUAAGAUUUUGAUUUUUUUUCUAUUUUAUUUUCCAUGUCUAUUGAUUUAUUUUUUCUAUUAUUUUGUUGAUUUUAUUAAUUUUAUCUUAAUUUAAUGAUAUAGGAUCAUGAUUUCUUGAAUUAGGGUUUAUUAAUUUACUUCUAAAUUUGUUUCCAUAUUAUUAUUUUACCUAUUUGUCAUUACUUGAUUAUGAUAGAACUCGAUCCACAUAAUAUUUUCAUUCCGUAAUACACUGUAAUGAUAGAUUGAUUCCUACUUAUCAGUACAUAGUCUUCUAGUCUUAAACCCUAAAAUUAUUAGGAUUCAUCAGAACUUUACUACAAUAAUAUAUUAAAAAUAAUAUUACUUUGAGUACUUUUGAAUUCCCUCUAUAUGUUCGUGUAUUUUCUGGAUCAAGUACUCACUUACUAAUAAUUUUAUAUUUGAUGUUUCAGGAAGGCAAAGUAUUGGACCAAGUGCCAUAACAAACUCAUUUAACAACGAGAGUGAAGGCAGACAAGACUUCUCCAAUGCAACAAUCAAAAUUGAAAGGUGUAGUUAUGCCUCAACUAGUAGUGUCAGUGUCGGUGUGAUAGCAAGCUCAUUCAACAACAAGGGCAAUGGCAUCCAAAACUUUAGCAAUGCCACAAUCAUAAUCAUCGGCAACUGUUGUGGCUCACUUGGUUUGCAUGGUAUCAUAUUUUACUGCUUAUUCCUUAGAGUUCUUGUUACACUACUGCUUAUCCCAACUAGAGAUCAACAUCUCCAUCUAACAAUACUGGAUUCAACUUGAUCCAAGGUUGAGGUCAAUUCUCCUUCAAGGGGCACUGCACUCGCCAAUAACAUUCAUUUAUGAUCCUCCAUAAUCUUCUCACCUACCAUGUCUAUGUCUUCUACCACCAGAUUCAAUUUUCGCCACAUCUUUGUAUGUUCCUCUUUCACUCACCAUGCUGGUUUAUAUUCAAUUUUUCUAUUUAAAAUAUAUAUGAACAUGCAUGCUCUUGUUUUUGUGCUCAACACCAGAAUCUCCACGUACUAAAGAUCUACAUUGAGUGAAAUAGAAAACAAAAAAAGUAGAAAACUAUAGGAAUGAAGAGUUGAUGCAAUUUUAUUCUUAUAUAAAUUACAUUAGAAAGUUUGCAACAGUUUUAUCCUAACAAAAUAUUUCUCUUAAUUAUGGUCAAUAUAAGACCUGCGAAAGUGUGUUUUUAUCUUAUUGUAUGAUUCUCAACAUUUGUGAGAAUUCCAACUUUAUGUCAAUUUAUGCAUGAUAUAAAUGAAGGACAGAAAAUUCCCAACAUUUGUGAGGAUUCCAACUUUAUGCCAAUUUAUGCAUGAUAUAAAUGAAUGACAAAAGUUGGAGUAAAUAGUUUCAUUAUAUAUGUGGGUCCUGGUUUGAUUAUUGAUAUCUAGAAGAUACUUUCUAAAAUAUCUAACUAGGAAUAUUCAGAAGAUUUUAGUAGUUUUGCUUUAUGAUGAAAGGUGUAUUUUAUAGGUUAUGGAUGUUUUUCUUUUUUACUCUGGGAUGCUAUACAAUACCAUCUAUUCUUUAAAGUUAUUAAGUCUGUACUAUCUUUAAUAAAUUUCAAAUAAGGAGUUAUUCCAUACUCUUUUUCUUCUCUUUAGGAAUAUUCUGUUAGUUUUAUUAGAUUUGUAUAUUAAUGAUUAGUAUAUCAUAAGUGAGGUAAUAUGGAAAAUGCUUUCUCUACCAAAUUGCUAUCUUCAACUAUAACUCUUGACUUUAAUGCAAUGUCGCGAGGUACAUGUAUUGUAGUUUAUCCACCUCUGGAAGGUUCUUAAUACAUAUCUUUUGAGACCUGAUGUUGGGUUUCGGUAAUUGAGUCUGCAAAUGUGCUUAAUCCAUCAAAUUGUGCCCAAAUCCUUCAUAGAUGGUCUUAAACAUUUUGUUUGAUAUAUUUGGGAUUUGUGCUGUGAUUAACUUUAAUUCCUUAUGAUUCAAGAAAAAGUGAUUCUAGUAAUAUGACAUUUUAUAUAAUACGUGCUAAAAUAUUAUUAAAAAAUUCACUGAAAGUAUUGAAAUUUCGUGUACAUGUAUGAAGGCAUUGUCCUGACUAACUAAUGGUUUUAUAUUUGAUGUCUUACAGGAAGUCGAAGUAUUGAACACGGUGUUGUAAACUCAUUCAACAACGAAGGCAAUGGGUUACAGGACUUCAGCAAUUCAACAAUCAUAGUUGGAAGUUGUAGCUGUACCUCAACUUGUGUGGAACUGAAGACUUAUCAAACGGGUUUGAUUAAGAAAAACAUUGAAACUGGAUGAGGCAUGUUAAACCUUUGAGAUGAGGCCAUAAUGUUUUCAAACAGUUAUUGACUGAAGAACCCUUUGGAAAACAAAGUAGCCAUUAGCCAAUAGGGUUGAAGAAAGCUCAAUUUUUGGAAAUCUUUCAAUUAUGCUGAUUGUUGAUUGUGUUUUGGCACUUUAGAUGAACUUGAUAAUUGAGUGGUCCCCCAUAAGCAGGACCAUUUUGUAUUUUGAUUAUUUAAAUGCACAACAAUUUUCUUUCACAUAGUUGGCUCCAAGAGUUGAUUCCACCACUUUUUUUUGUCUUGGCUUAGAGUACUUCUGGUUUCAUUAAUUAAGGUUCAGUGUGGUUCUGUUCUGCCACAAUUCUAUCUUCUCAGUUGUAAUGAGAACCAGAAUGAUGUAUAACUCUAUUCUAUUUGUCUACGCUUCAAAGUUAGGUUUAUUAAGCACUACUUUGUUACAAAGAACUCCUGCUUCAAAUCAGCAGUUAUAUAUAGUUAUAUAUAUUUUUAAAAUUAUCAAAUAAGAAUUUAGAAUGAUAUUUUUUUUUCAUUGUGAGAGUGAAAUCGUAUUUUUAAAAAAAAAUUAUAUAUACAUUGUAACUGGUGUUUAAUUUUCUUAAAAAUAUUAAAUAUAUAAUAUUUUUUAAAUGAAACAAAUCUGCUACUUGAAUUUGUAUUAUUUUAAAAUGGAAUUUAGUUUUACUCUUAAGAAUAUGUUGAUUUAUAACAUUAUAGCAAAAACAUAAUAUAUUAAUAAUAAAAUAAUUAGAGAAGAAACAAAUUAUUUAUUACAAACUAAUUAUAAAAAUCUAAAAUAUUAGACAGUGCACUACAAGAAAAUGAUUAAAUGAUUAAAUGACAACUAAUUUAGAAACAAAUAAAAAAUAGUUUCUAUAGUAACUAAUUUAGAUACCAUUUCAUAAACUAAAAAUUAUUAGUUACUAAAAUGGUAUCUAUUAUUAAUAAAAAUUAUAAUAAAAUUUGAUACUACAUUUUUGUAGCUAAUAAUAAAUAAAAAAGUAAAAUAAAAUUAGAGACCCUUUUUUAGUCUCUUUGUUAAUAUGUAAUUAGAAACCAAUUUUUAAGUCACUUUUAAUCUAUUUUAGAGACUAAUUUUUUUUUAUAAAAAUAAUAAAAUUAAAAACUAAUUUUUUAGUUUCUAAUCAUAUUUUUAGUCACUACUAUUUAAAUUUAGAUACUAAUUUUAGAGUAAUUAAAUUUUAUAAAAUUAAUUAUUUUUUUAAUUUUUUUAAUUUGAGCAAAUUGGUUGCAGGGAGGUAAAAUUAAUCUAUCUUUCUCUGUAGCCUUUUCUUCUCAUCUCUCAAUCUCCACAACACACUCUCCAACCGGCAGCAACGACGCAUCCACGAUGGCGACGCUCUCCGACUGCGACUCACCCGCCACAACAAAGCACCCGCGACUGUAACGCAUCCCGCGACAGCAAUGCACGAAGGCAGCGUGUGACGGCAGCGCAUCCCGUGACAGCAACGCGCAACGGCAGCGCACGACGGCAGCACAUUCCACGACAACAACGCACGACGACAACUGAGUAGUAUGCUUCUCCUUGUCUCAUUUCGUGCUCUAUUCUUACUCUGAUUUUUAUUUUUUGUGCUUGCUCUUCCUUAUAGAUUUUAGGUCAUUGCAGUAGAGUAGGAUGUUUUUCCUUGUCUCAAAUUUAACAAUUAUAUUCCAAUGUGGAGUUUCAACAUUUGAUUUUCAAUCUAUAGACUCUUUGAAUGGUCCUCCUACACAUUUUUAUUACCAUUUCAGAAAUCCAAAACUUGGAAAUUCUUUUUAAUCUUCUCAGAUUGCGUAAAUACUUGAUUUAUAACUUCUCAACUAUCAACUGAUAACACAGUUGAUAGUUUUUUUUAAUCUAUGUAUAGAUUCCUUAUAAGAUAAUAGUGUUAGUUUUAUAUCACUUGAUAGUUUUUUUAAUCUAUGUAUAGAAUCAUUAUAAGAUAAUAGUGUUAGUUUUUUUUUUUUGGAAUAGAGUAUUCCCUGCUGUGUGGUAUAAAAUGCAAAUCAAUCCAUUAACUUAUUCACAAAAGUCUCCAUCACUCUUAAAUUUAUGCAUCUUGAACACAUUAAUAAGAUGUGUUCAAGUUUGUAGCUCAACCUUUGGCACUAGGAGCUUUUAGUUCAAAUUCAAAACCAAAUGUUAAUCAAUCAUUCAAAACACCUAAGUUUGCAGCUCAACUUUUGGCACCAGGAGCUUCUAAUUCAAAUUCAAAACCUAAUGUUGAUCAAUCAUUCAAAACAUCUCAGUUUGCAGCUAAUUCAACAUCAAAUGAAAUUAAUUCAACACCAGAUGAAACUAAUUCUACAUCAAAUGAAACUUUUGCUGCAUCAGAGUCACAUGGCAAUUAUGUCAAGUCAGUUUUAAACCUUGAUGGGCAAGGGUAUGUAUAUCAAUGUAAUCAUUACUCUUAAAACAACCAAAUUAAUAAUAAAUUGUGGAAUUAUGAUAAUUUACAUGUCAUUUUGCAGAUUCUUACCUUCACGCCCUAUAGCUAAUGGGAUUGGAAAUAUCUUCAAAAGUCAUUAUACCGAUCCAUGGCUGUUAGUACGAGAAAUUACACCAGCAGAAGGCCCAAGAAACAACCCAAUUGGAUGCAGGAUUUUAUAUUGGGUUAAGACCCAUGCUUUUAUUAUUCUGCCAUUUUAUUUUAGUAUGUGUUCCUUUUUCAUCUGUUGUUUUAUUUUAAGAGUUUUGUAAGGCCCAUGGCCCUUAAACCCUUAUGUAGGGACUUACCAUUAUGAAUGAAGGCAUAAGUUUUUUGUGAUAACCCUAAUUUUAGUAUAGCAGUAGCAAAGGUCUAUCAUUGGUGCUUUCAUUGUUAUGGCUCCUAAACUCUCAUCCAAGGACAUGGAAGAGGUCAUCCACGCCAUUCAAGCUCAAAUCACCCUCCUCACGCACCCUGACAAUCAAAACCCUUCACCUCCCCCUCAAACCAGUCCUCGAUCAUCUCAUUCUCACCCUCAUCAGCAACUACCCUUUUUUGAAGGAACCCAACCCUUGGACUGGCUCUUUCAAGCAGAGCAAUAUUUUUCAUUCUAUCAAAUUCCUAUGGACCAGCAUUUGGCCAUGGUGGGAUUCCACAUGCAGGGAGAUGCUCUCUCCUGGUUUAAAUGGCUGCACAACAAUAACCUCCUCACAGAUUGGCAUUCUUUCACAAGGGCCUUGGAGCUCUGUUUUGGCCCAUCAACAUAUGUCAAUCACCAAGUUGAGUUAUUUAAACUCCAGCAAACCUCCACAGUCACAAAAUACCAAGGCAGGUUUGAAUGUUUAUGCAACUGUGUGGUGGGUCUCACUCCCAAGACUAUACUUAAUUGUUUCAUUUCUGGUUUGAGUAUUGAUAUUCGCAGGGAGUUCACUAUAUUAAAUCCUUAUUCUAUAGCCCAAGCCAUAGGACUAGCCAAGCUUAUUGAAGACAAACUGAGAGAUUCCAAACCUAAACAACACCGUUAUACCCCAACACCUCACCCCACCACCACUAAUUCUUCGUUCACAAAAAGUAGACCUAAUACCCUUACCCCACCAUCAGCUCCAAUACAGAUUAAACGUCUCUCAUCUUCCCAAAUGCAGGAACGACGUGCCCUAGGUCUUUGCUACAAUUGUGAUGACAAGUUCUUUCGGGGCCAUAAGUGUGCUACAUCUCGUUUUUUGCUUCUUUUGGAUGAUCCUGAUACAGUAAUUGAACCCACCGAGCACCCUAUUCCAUCCUCCGAAUACACCACUCCCCUCCAUUUUCACAUUUCCCCUCAAGCCAUCUCUGGUACCAUUUCCCCAAAAACUCUCAAAUUCACCGGUUUAAUCCACAACCUACCGGUGACAGUUCUUAUUGACUCAGGAAGUUCUCAUAACAUACUUCAACCACGUAUUUCCCACCAUAUACAUCUAGCCAUAUCUCCUAGCCCACCGCUAUCGGUUAUGGUGGGAAAUGGGGCUUUCAUCCAGUGUCAAGGAUUGUGCCCAUCAGUGGAUAUCUCACUACAGAACUCCACCUUUACUAUCCCAUUUUACCUUCUUCCCAUUGAAGGAGCAUAUGUUGUCCUAUGCGUAGAUUGGUUAAGCACACUGGGAUCCAUCUAAGCAGAUUUCUCAAUCCCCAACAUUGCUUUCACACAUAACAACCAACAAAUUACCCUCCAAGCUUCCCCCUCACCCACCCCAGCAGCUACCACUUACCACCAAUUUUGUCACUAUUUAUCUAAUAAUUCAAUUGCAUCCUUCCACCUCCUCUCGGUGGAAAACUAGCCCAGCACACUCACAAUCAGGACCAUUGAUCAACCUUUUUUCCCUUUAGACAAUCUGCCCACGCCCAUUCAAUCACUCCUUCAGAAAUAUCACAGUAUCUUUCACAAACCUCACGGGCUAGCCCCCAAAGGCCACAUGACCACCAUAUACCAUUGUUACCUCACACCUCACCCAUCAAGGUCAAACUCUACCGCUACUCACGCCACCACAAGGAAGUCAUCACUACACUCAUUUCUGAAAUGUUGCAAGAGGGUAUUAUCCAACCCAGUACUAGCCCUUUCUCUUCUCCGGUGCUGUUAAUAAAAAAAAAGGAUGGAACAUGGCGAUUCUGUGUUGACUAUAGAGCCCUAAAUGUAGCCACCAUUCGUGACCACUUUCCUAUUCCCACCAUUGAUGAAUUGCUAGAUGAGUUAGGCUCAGCUACUAUUUUUACUAAAAUAGAUCUCCACUAUGGGUAUCACCAAAUACUUCUUGUUCCAAAGGACACUCACAAAACAGCUUUUCGCACUAUUGAUGGUCAUUACAAAUUCCUGGUUAUACCAUUUGGAUUAACUAACACCCCUUCUACUUUUCAGGCAGCAAUGAAUGAUCUUCUCAAACCAUACCUCCGCCGGUUUGUCUUAGUUUUUUUUAUGACAUUUUAAUUUAUAGUCCUAGCUUGCAGGACCACAUGGUUCAUCUGAAAAUUAUAUUGGAAGUGUUACACACUCAAAUUUUGCCAAGCUUUCCAAAUGCAAUUUCGCAACCGCGGAAGUCAGUUAUCUAGGCCACAUAAUUUCAGCUCAAGGGGUCCAACCAGACCCACAAAAGAUCAGUGUCAUACACAAUUGGCCUCAGCCACGAUCACUCACGACAUUAAGGGGUUUCCUCGGCCUCAUUGGAUUUUACAGAAAAUUUAUAAAGCAUUACGCCACACUCGCUGCUCCUCACACCGACUUAUUACAAAACCACAAAUUUACAUGGACAGUGCCAGCGCAACAAGCAUUUGAAAAAUUGAAAUUACAAAUGACAUUAAUGUCUAUCCUACACCUUCCCAAUUUCAAACUCCCAUUUGUGGUAGAAACUGAUGCAUCCGCAGUGGCUGUAGGAGUUGUCCUUAGUCAAACUGGCCACCCUCUCGCCUUCUUCAACAAAAAGAUGAACCCCAAGUUACAAGCUUCCUCUGUAUACGUCCGGGAGAUGUAUGCCAUCACAGAGUCAGUAAAAAAAUGGGGUCAGUAUCUCAUAGGACAACAUUUCACAAUCAUCACGAAUCAAAAAAGCCUCAACACCCUCAUGGCCCAAACCAUACAAACUCCAGAACAACAAAAAUGGACAGCUAAAUUACAGAGAUAUGAUUUCCAAAUAGUUUACCGACCUGGAAAGGACAAUACGGUGGCAGACACUCUUUCAAGAAUGGAUCAGGAGACCACGCACAUCUUAUUGGCCGUCUCGUCCCCGAUACCUCAGCUGAUCCAAGAACUUCAAUUUUUUUAUGACACUGCAAAAGGCAAAGAGGUGAUCCAAGCUUGCACAGGAACUCAACAGCACCCAAGUCUUUUCUCUACCGGCCACGGGUUGCUUUUCUUCCGCCACCAGAUUUUUGUCCCAGCAGUAAAAGAAUUCCGCAAGCGUAUCAUGACUGAGUUUCAUGCUUCUCCUUUUGGUAGCCAUUCCAGUUUUAAACCGACCCUCAAGCGUAUAGCUGCCUCCUUCUACUGACCGAAAUGGACCAGGGACGUCCAUAGCUUCGUCCAACAAUGCUCGGUGUGCCAGAAAAGCAAAUACAUGCCAACAAAAAUUCAAGGUCUCCUUCAACCAUUGCCAAUUCCAGAACAAGUUUGGGAAGAUAUAUCAAUGAAUUUUAUUACUCACCUUCCAACGUCUGCUGGCCACUCCGUUAUUUGGGUCAUCUACGACAGAUUGACAAAGUAUGCCCACUUCCUAACUCUGCCCACACACUUCACCGCCCAACAGCUAGCUUCACGUUUUUCGGUAGAAAUCUGUCGACUCCAUGGACUACCCAAAACUAUCAUCUCCGACCGUGACCCUUUGUUUGUCAACACCUUCUGGCAACACAUGUUCAAGGCACAAGGAACCACGUUGAAAUUUAGUUCGUCAUAUCACCCACAAACUGACGGCCAAACGGAAGUAUUGAACAGAGGGUUAGAAGCAUACCUCAGGAGUUUUGUAGGAAAUCAACCGAACAAAUGGUAUCAGUUCCUUCACUUAGCAGAGUUGUGGCACAACACCACUUACCAUUCGGCUAUAGGGACAUCACCUUUUCGUGCCCUCUAUGGUAGACAACCACCCACCGCAAUAGAUUUUGUGCGCACUCCACAAGAAGGCACCACCAUCCCUAGUGCGUUAGCAGAUCACUUCGCGGUACUACAGGAGAUAAAAGAGCACUUACGUCAUACAAGGCAGCGAAUGUGUGAUCAAGCGAACCAACACCGCACAGAUUGGAGCUUCGAACCAGGCAAUUGGGUGUGGGUUCACCUCCAACCCUAUCGGCAACGAACGAUGGAACGCCGCACACACCAGAAGCUAGGACCGCGUUUCUCAGGUCCAUACAAGGUACUACGCCGCAUUGGAGCAGUAGCGUAUGAGUUACAACUGCCACCAACCACCCGCGUUCACCCUGUUUUUCAUGUGUCGCUGCUAAGGCCUUUCAAAGGAACUACUGGAGAAACUCCUUCAGUUUCCACCACUUCCACAAGCAACUGCCAAACUACACUUAACUCAAUCUCAAAAUCCAGUCAGAAACUCCUGAACACACCGCCCAAAGAGCCCACUAGCAACAAGACACGUGUCCCACUCACGAAGGUUGUGGAGCCCCAUGGCCACAAGCCCCUCACGCACGUGCCCACUCCACCGUUUACGGCCACACUCACUCACAAGCUUUACACGCCUCUUGGCUCAACCAGUAGGGGCACUACACGUGUAAGUGACCGUUCAGCAGCUCCAACUUUUUCAGACCUUGAGCCCAACGCCAAUAAAGUCUUUCUAGAACCUACCCACCCAAACCCUAAUGCAGUUGCGGCACACUCUGCAAACCCUAGCUUAACCGCAACGCCUCCCCAUCAACCCGCUAUCCAAGCCCAAUUACCUCACGCCCAUCCCAAAGGGACAAACGCACCCGCGACGCCUACAACAAACCCUAGCGUGGUCACAACGCCUCCUAGCCAAUCUUAUACCCAAGCCCAUCUUCGUCUGACCCGAUCCAACACAUCACCAUACUCUUCCGAACCUACAUCACAGCUCAAGGCCCAACAUCAGUUCACACCUCCUGCUAAAUUCCCUAUCUCACCCCCCAACGCCCAAGACACGGCCCAACAGACCCCAAGACUGCACUUUGAGAACAAAGUGCCUCCUGAGGCAGACAGUAAUGUUAGUACGAGAAAUUACACCAGUAGAAGGCCCAAGAAACAGCCUAAUUGGAUGCAGGAUUUUAUAUUGGGUUAAGACCCAUGCUUUUAUUAUUCUGCCAUUUUAUUUUAGUAUGUGCUCCUUUUUCAUCUGUUGUUUUAUUUUAAGAGUUUUGUAAGGCUCAUGGCCCUUAAACCCUUAUAUAGGGACUUACCAUUAUGAAUGAAGGCAGAAGUUUUUUGUGAUAACCCUAAUUUUAGUAUAGCAGUAGCAAAGGUCUAUCAAUGGCCAUCUUGGAAGAAGAUACCAAUUAGAACAAGAGACUUGUGGUUUGGAGAGUUUUUGGUUGAUUUCAUAUAAUUAAAUUUGUUUAAUUAUCUAGUUUAAUUUUAUUAUCUAUCUUAGUCUUACAUAUAACUAACUUUGUUUCUUUAUUAAUGCAGAAGAAGUUUUCGAUUUGUCCACCGGAUCAUAGGUGGGCAAGAAAGAAUUUUGAAAUGUGAGGUGCUAUAAUCAUGAAAAAUAAUCUAAAUAAGGCUCGACAGAGAAAGAUUAAGCCAAACUGGAUUGGAGAUAGUACAUGGGAUAUAUUAUGUCAGUAAUGGGCAUCUGAAGAAUUCCAAAAGAAAAGCACGAUCGGGAAAAUAAAUAAAGUCUCUGGAUGUGGAGGUUUUGGAGGGUCUCGUCACACAUGUGGCUCUAUUAGCACAUCUCAGCAUAAAUAUAAUAUGGUAAUUUGUUUUCUAACUAUUUUAUUUUCUCAAUAUAUUAUAUAUAUAUAUAUAUAUAUAUAAUAUGGGAAAUGUGUGAAUUUUAUUUUUUCAGACAAAGAUGAAUGGAAUUCCUCCCACUAUAUUAGAAUUGUUUUGUCGCACGCACCAACGACGUAAGGACAACUCUUGGGUGGAUCAAAAACUAGAACAAGUAAAUGUAAUGAACUAUUACCUUUUAUUUUAGUUGUUUUGUUAUAUUUUUGGUUUUAUCAUUUUCAAUGUUAAAGUUAUUGUUAGUUUAUUGUUGUUGUGUGUUUAAAUACAUAUCUGUCUAGAAACCACUGCCACUGCCACGAGACCAAUUGUUAUCUCUCUAGAAGUUCCCAUCAUAGCAUAUACAAAUUUAAGUACAAAAACAAAGCAGAAAGAGAACAUGAAUAUUGUUGGUUGAGUCACUGUGAGAGUGUGUGUGUAAUAGAAAGAAAGAUAGAAAGAGAGAGAAAGAUGAUCAACGAAUAACAUCCACCUGCCAUGUUGUCCCUUACUCAAGGAAUUUCCAACUUUAAAACCAAUAAGACUGUGAAAUCAAUUAGUAUGCAGCUACAAGAUCUGAUGUGACUUUGAGAACAGAUAAGACUCUAGAUAGACACAUGAAAAUUUGAUGAUUGUAUUCUAAAAUCACCAAUUGAAUUUUGAGGAAAAAUAUAGCACUGUAAAUAAAAAUUGGAGAGAAAGCAAAAAUAUUGUCAUCCAAGAUGCCAAAAAAGUCUUUAGAAAGUCUGAAGUAAACUUUUGUUUUGCAAAUUUCAGCUUCCUUUUCUCAGAUAUAUGCACUAUGAGCAUUUGAACCUCAUGUUAACAUUCAAAUAAGUAGAUGGAAUCUCCAAUUCUUUUAAGUUGAAGUAGCAAAAUCAAUUCAAUAUACCAGUGACUUUUUACAAGCUUAAAAUUAAACUAUGUGAGAGCAUAAACAAAGUUAUUUUUUGAAACACUGCUUGAGAGUGAGUUUUCUUGCUCUGAGUGCAUUAUCUAACAAUCAAUAGAAAGGUAAUUGCAUGAUAGUACCAUAAAAUCAAAAUCUAAACCCACUACAAGUAGUUUUCUAAUAUUGCUGCAAGUUGGGAAAAAAGUUGUGUUUUUUUUCCACAAACAUCUCUUUCAUGCACCAAUUAGUGAAGUAGGAAACAAUUACUGCACAUUUCAACCUUUUAUUUUAAUAGUUAAGUACGUUGGAGUUUGAAAUUGCAUUUGUAUGGCAUCCACUUUAUUUGAAAGUGAAAACUAGGCAACACUGGCAAUUGCUUCUUUGGUGCCAAAGAGAAAGAGGGAAAUUGCUGGCACACACAUAGAUCCUUACCAAAUCAACCUUAGAGUACAUUGUUAUGGUAGGGAUUGCAUUGAAGCUCAUUUGUUCCAUACAAAAGUUCUGUAUUGUAAGAGUAACUUAAAAUCAAUUUUAGUAUCAACUUUAGAAUGUCUUAGAUAUUCAAUAAUGCAUAACACAAGAAAAACAUUCAAGUACCUAAAUUACAAACAUUUUUAUUUUAUUUUUAUAGAGUUUAAUAACCUGAAAGCAAUGACAACUUAUUAAAAAUCUAAUCUGAUUUUCUUAGAAGGAGAAUGUGUUUGUGUGUGAGAGAGAGAAUAAAAGAAAGAUAGUUCAGUGACUGCAGGAUCUACUCCAACAGCAGCAAAACUCCUGAAAAUAGAAUUCACUUGUGAAAAUAAAAUUGAAUAAGGUUCUAUUAGAAAUCUGAUUUCACUAUCAGUCCAUGUCUGAAUAGGUUUCAAGUAAAUUUAUGUUACUGAUUUCACAUGUCCUUUCAGCAUAUUAUAUUCUUAUAUAUUAAAUGUGAAGUACAUGGCUUCAAGCUUUGAGUAUCCUAUAUUACAACAACUUUUUCAGACAAUUUUACCUAAUAAGUAUCCCUAUUAUAUAUAAUACACACACAUUAUAGGAUAGUUACAGGUCAUUGUUAUUGUUUACCUACACAUUAAUGAAAAUUUUCCAACUAAUUUCUUUUUAAUUACUUCUAAUAGACUGAGAAGCAAUCAUUCAUGAAAUAAUAUCUGUUUGUUUUCUUGAUCAAUAUUAUAUUGGUAUGAAUAUUCUAUUGAUGUUAACAAGCAGAAUUUACACGUAAAUUUGAAGACUUAACACAAAGUGCAUCUGCACAAGGAAUUCCCCCUCCAAAUGAGUUAGAUGUUUGGUGUGAUGUAGCUGGAACCAAGAAUGGGAGGAUAUAUGGUCUUGGAAUGGAAUCUACUGUUAUUGGAGGUAGGCCUUACUACCUUGGCUCAUCUUCUUCCUCAAAUGGGUGGAUACAAAGUCAAUAGCUUGAUGAACUUAAAAGAGAUAUGGAAGUAGUUAAGAAAGAAAGAGAUGAGCUUCGAAUCAAAAUUUUAAAUAUUGAGCAACUUUUUGAGAAAAACAAUGCAAUGAUUCGAUAAUGAAUGGAUAGCAUUAAUCAUCAAUCAAUGCCACCAAGUUUUGAGGAAACUCAAGAUAAGGAUGAAACACAACCACCCAGUCAACCACUCAGUCCUUAUCAAGGUAGUUUUGUUACACUAUUCUAUAUAUAUUUUUAAAUUUCAAUCUUGCUAAUAAAUUUUAUUUUAUAUUUUUUGACAGGUAGAUGAUUAUUGUUAUAGCUAGCAUCAAAAGCUCACAUGGUACACCACUGAGCAUUAGCUCUUCAUGGAAUAAAUUUCACACAAAAAAUGAUAGAUUAAGCUUUUUACUUUUCAAACGCCUUGUUUGAAUCAUUUGUAAUAAUUGGCAGCAGCUAUUAGCUUCUACAUUGCAUAGAAUUACUUCUAACAAUAGAAAUAGUUGUUAUAAGUUGUUAAUGACAGCAUAGUUGGUGCUGCAGAAUUAUAAUAUGUGCCACUCUCAUGUGCUUUGAAGUCCUUUUGUUCUGUUUUUUAUGCAGUUUUAUCCCAGCUAUGCCAAUCUUUUUUGCCUCAUUGAGAGGAACUAAAACCAUAGUUGGUAGAUGGUAGAUAAAGUAAGAGUGGGUAUGAUAGUAGGUGCAGUUGUGUAAUUUUUUUAUCUUAGCUGCAGGUUCGGUGGUGUUGAGGAGGAUGGAAGGAAGCAUAUGAAGUGGAGAUUGAAUAGCUAUUUGAAAAGCUAUUUUCACCAAACCUUGUUAUCUAUAUGAUGUACAUACAAUCUUAAAAUAUGUUAAAUGUAUUCAUUUUUAUACUUGAUAAAUAAAUAAAUAAUAAUAAAAUGAAUAAAUAAUAAUAAUAAAAUAAAUAAAUAAUAAAAUUAUAUUUUAUAUUUUAUAUUUUAUAAUAAAAUUAUAUUUUAUAAUAAAUUAUAUUAUUUAGAGACCAAUAUAGUGACCAAUUUUUGGUAUUUAUAUAUUUGGUCACUAAAUGAGUUUCUAUAUAUUUUGGUCACUAAAUUGGUUUAAAUAAAAUUGGUUGUUAAUUUGGUUUUUAUAUAAUUGGUCACUAAAUUAGUUUCUAUAUAUUUGGUCACUAAAUUAGUUUCUACAUAUUUGGUUACUAAAUUAGUUUCUAAACAUUUGGUCACUAAAUUAGUUUCUAUAUAUUUGGUUACUAAAUUAGUUUUUAUUUAAUGUCACUAAAUUGGUUUUUAAAUUAGAAUCUAAAUUGGUAUCAAAAAUUAGCGACCAUUAGUUUUUAAAUUAGUUUCUAAUCAAGUUAGUGACUAAUUUUAUAUUUUAGAAACCAAAAAUUUAGUUUCUAUAACAACUUUUUCUUAUAGUGGUGGUUUAAAUAUACUAUAAAAGAAAAAGUAGACUAACUUGACCUACCUGAAAAUUUUCAUAAAUAUUUAUUUUUCGAUUUAUUUAUCAUACUAUUUUUUUUUAAUGAAAAUUUUCAUGUUAGGCAUCACUAUGCAACUUGACAUCUCAACUAGGCUGACAUCUCAAGUAACAACAAUCAUCUGCCAUCACAUGAAAAAAGUAUUAUUAAAAAAAGGAAAAAGAAAGAAUAUACAAAAAUAUGGGGGACUAGACCAAAACCCACAUGUUAACAAAAACGAUACAUAGGCAGACUAUACCUAUUCAUAAAGAAUUCUAAGAACAGACUAGAUGGAAGUCUAUUAUACCAAUGAAAUGAUUGUCUAUGAACGAACCCUAAAUUAGCCAACUUAUCAGCACAUGCAUUUCCCUCACGAAAAAUAUGAGUAACCCUAAACCUGAUUGUCCUACAGAAAUUAAGACAAGUAUUCCAUCGAUUACGAAGCAUCCACGGAACAGUAGUCCUAGCAGUAAACAUUUAUCAUACUAUUUUGUUACUUGUAAUAUUUUCUAUUCUAUCAUAAUGGAAUAUAAAGACUUAAAAAUAAAAAAACUAGUCACACUUAAUAAUUAUGAUAGUUUUAUAUAUAUAUAUAUAUAUAUAUAUAUAUAUAUAUAACUAGCUAGUCAGCAAAUUUUUUUUUUAAAAUACUCUCAACAGAUACUAUAGACUUAUCCGAUAAAUCAUGUGUAUAACAAAACAUAAUUUUAUAUAAAAUAAAAAACUUUUCAAAUUAGGUAAUUCAUAAAGUAUUUUUUUUAUUAAACAAAAUUUUUUCAAGAUAGUCCUAGGUUAAUUUUCAUAAAAUAAAAAACUUUUAAAAUUGAGAAGUCCAUAAGUAUUUUUCAAUUAAAAAAUAUAAUUCACAUCCAUAAAAAAAAUAAUCUUUCCGACUAAUAUAAUUUUAACUAAACAAUGAAUUAUAUUGCUCUAGAAAAAAUUCUAACAACUUCUAUUAAACAACUCUAAUCACAUCAAUACAAAUAAUUUAUAUUCUACAUUAACCAAAAAGUAAUGAUCUUAAUAAUAUUUCAAUCUUAGUCGAGCUAAUAACACCCAAUUAAAAUCAAAAUAAAAAAAAAUUAAAUGAAGAUCAAAACAUGAAUUUGAGUAUAUGAAAAAUUUAAAUUAACUUUUUCUAAAUUAAAAUCUGAAAUUCUAUAAUUUUAAACAAUCAAAUUAUUCUAAAGAAAUUUUAAAAUUUAAUUUCUUGUUAAAAGUCUUACCCAAACAACAUAUUUUAUCACAAAACAUUUGAAAUUUUCUAAAAAAAAUAAUUGUGUUUUAAAAAUUUCUCGCCGAAACACACUAUUGAUAGCAAGAAAUGGAAUGUUUUGAAAAUGAAAAUUAAAUUUUCUGUAAGUUUUCUUCAGCGUUAAAAUUCUAUGGUUAGGUACUUUCUUUUUCCGAGUUACAAAACUCUGGAUGGAGUCAUCAUUUGUGACUUUUAUAAUUAAUAACAGUGCUGAAUUACAAGACUAAUUGGGCUGGACUCUAGAACAAGCAGUAUUGUUUUCGGCCCAAUUAGUCUAAAUCCUCGUUUUGCACUUUUAUACCCCCUUCCUUUCACUGUCAAUUUUUCUCAAAUUUGAUGCAAACUAACUUCUGUGAUAUAAUUCUUUUAAUAGAUUGUGAAAAAUAUAUUCUUCAAAGUGGUUUUUCUAAAAAAUACAUUUUAAAAGUAAACGGGCAACGCAAAAAAAAAAAACAGAAAGAAAGAAGUUAACAAAAUCAACGUAAAUAGUAUAGGCCUUUUUUAUGUGUAGAUAAUGAAAUCCAUCCUAAUACCCAAUUCCACAGCCACAACGCUAUGAGCUGUCUUGCUUAAAAAUAAAGGAAAACUGACAAACUCUCUUUGCACCUCCAUAAUUUUUACCUGCAUCUUUAUACUUUUUUUUAAUUCUAAGAAUAUUCUUUUAAACUUUUUUUUAAUUCUAAGAAUAUUCUUUUAAGUAUGGUAGAAAGUGUUGUGCAUUCUUUUUCAUUUUCUAGUGAUGAUGGUUAUUUGAGGUGAUUGAUGGUGAAGGUAAGUUUUGUGAUGUUUUUACUUAUAGAGACGAUGUUUUCGUUUACUUAAUUUUUUUUAAAAAUUUUUAAAGACCACAAAACAAAACAAAAAAUACAUAUCAACAAGGUUUAAAAUGGAGUAAAAUAUUAAAAAAAUAAAUAUUUUUUACAAAUAACGUCGAAUACAACAAAUAUUCUCACCACCAACCGUUGGAUUGUUCCUCCGCAUUCAAAAUUUUCAACUUCUCACACCGUGUACAAUCCCUAAGCCCCUGCUUGGAUUGGGGGUUGGCACUGUAGCCGCAGACGGAUGUGGGGUGCCACCCCCGUUUGGAUCCAGUCAUUGUGGAGGGUGUGGGUGAGGGUGAGUUGAAAGUUGGGCCAAAUGAGAGAGCUUUCAGAAGUGAAGAGAAAGGAGAGGGUGAGGGAGUGAGUGCCACAUAGGAUAAGAGAAAAGUCAUGUGUGCCCUUCACUUGAAUGUAUCUGGCCAUGCAUGAGGAAGUAUUUUGUUUGAAGCUUUUCAGCAAAAGCAUGCAUGCACAUCAGCAACAAGCACAUGAGAUUCCUCACCAUUGUUCAGGAAUCUCUUUGACCAAGUUCAAAGCUCAAUGAAUGCAUGGUAAGUUGGUGAGAGAGUGGAUGAGCGUAAUAAAAGCUUCAGCAGCAAUAUAUAUGUCCUAACCAACCUCACAAAGUAGAGACAAUUCACUUGUUCACAAAGCACAAACCUAGAGAGCUUGGAGGGUCGUGAGUAAGGAUAGUGGUAGGAGAGUGCGGUUGGUUCUCGGUUUGUGACCUGAGGUGGGUUUCUGUGAAUUUAGUUUCGUUCUUAACCGAUUAUGAGUGAAAAUGAACGUCUGCUAUAAUCGAUUAUGUGGAAAAAAAUAGUUGAUAAUGGAUUAUGCUCACGACAUAAUCGAUUAUCUGUAAAAAAAAAAAUUGGUGGGAUAAUCGGUUAUGAUGUUUUUUGAACUUGAAGCAUAAUCGUUUAUGUGGUAUAAAUCUGUGAAUAAUCGAUUAUGUGGUAAUUUACACUGAGGUGAUAAUCGAUUAUGUUUCUUAAUUUUCCAGAUUUUUGGAUUUCUAUUUUUUGAACUAAUUUUUUAAUGAUUUUUUUUUUCAGGCACACUUUGAUAAAUCUCAGUUGCAUUGUGUUGUGGUUUUGUUCUGCUUUCUUGAGGUAUGUGUGUUUUUUUUUAAAUUGUGUUUGGAUGUUUAGUUUUAUUUUGAAUUUAAUUUGUUUUAAUUAUUUUAAAGUACUUGUUAAUUAGUUUAUAAUUUUAGAUGUGAAUGUUUAGGAAAAUUGAUUAUCUAAAAUUGUAUAUUAUUAAUGUAAAAUUUUCAUAAAAUUUGAAUAUGUUAUUUUUGUGAUAUAAAUUGAAUUUAUUAUAGAUUGAAAUUAGAGAUCUAUUAUUUUAAAAUGCCUUUAUUAAAAAGAUUAUAAAAAUUGUUGGAGUAAUUUAAAAACGGAAAAACUAAAUAUACAGAAGAUUUUUUUAACAUUUAACAAUGUUAAUAAAUAAACUUAUGAAUGUAUACAUAGUAAUUUUAUUUUUUUAACUUUGAAGCUGUUAAUAAAUAAAUUUUUUAUUUAAAUUUACAUAAUAGAUUAUUUUUUAGAAAUUAUUAUUUUUAGAGAAUGUAAAUAUAACUUUUUAAUGAUUUUUUAAAACAAAUAUUGUAUUAAUAAAAAAAACAGAAAAAGAUUACAUAAUAAAUUAGAAUUUGUAAUAAUAUGUGUACAUAGUUAUUAUUUUUUGAACAUUUAAUUCUUUAUAAAAAAAUAUAUUUAUUUAUUUGAAAUGAUUAUUUUUACUUAAUGGAAAUAGAAACUUUGAAUGCUAUAUUUUAUAAUUUUGGACAUUUUACAUACACAUACCAUAAAAUACAUAUAAUUUAUUUGUCAUAGUUUACAUAAAUUUUUAAUGUUAUUAUGAAACAAUUAAAACAAAUAUUAUAGUAAUUAAAAAGAACAGAAAAAAAUUACAUAAUAAAUUCAAUUUUUUAAUAAUAUAUGUAGAUAUUUAAUAUUUUUUUAACAUUUAAUGCUUUAUAAAAAAACAUUUAUUUAUUUAAAAUUAUUAUUUUUACAGAAUGUAAAUAUAAUUUUUUAAUUUUAUUUUUUAAAACAAAUAUUGUAUUAAUUAAAAAAACAGAAAAAGAUUACAUAAUAAAUUAGAAUUUGUAAUAAUAUGUGUACAUAGUUACUAUUUUUUGAACAUUUAAUUCUUUAUAAAAAAAUAUAUUUAUUUAUUUGAAAUAAUUAUUUUUACAGAAAUAGAAAUUUUGAAUGCUAUGUCAAAUGUAAUAAAUUUAAUAAUAUUAAAAUUAUCUCUCUCAUCAAAUGUAAUGAAUUUAAUAAUAUUAAAAUUAUCAACAAACAAAAAUUUAACUAAUACAAAUUUAUUUAAUUAAUAAAAUUAAAAAUUAAAAAAUCAUAUUUCAUUUCUAUAUUCUAUUUUUUAAUUAAUUUCAAUUUUAUAUUAUUUUUUAAGUUAUAAUUGAAACUUACAAUUAUUUUAAUUAUCAAAAUUAAAUUAGUAAUCAUUUUAUUUUUAUUUUUUUACACACAUGACAAAAGUGUACUUUAUUAUUAUAUAUAACAUAAUAUAAUAGAAAUUAAAUAAUAUAAUACUAAUUAUUUUAAUUAACUUAAAUUUUCUUUAAAUUAAUUAAUAUUUCAUUUUUUAUUUAUUUAUAUAAGGGUAAUUUUGUAAUCUUACCAUUUAUACUAUUCAAAAUAGAUUAAAAUACUCUCACAACUAUCACAUCAUUCGCAUUUUCCAAUAAACUUUCUUCACACACAUCUCUCAAUCCAAACACCAUCAACUUUCUCCACACUUUCUUCACACUUCCACUUACUCACACCCUUAACUUUCCACUCACCCACAACCCCUAAUCCAAACAAAGCAUAAAUUUCUCCUGGUGAUGCUUCUUAUUUGCUUUCAGUGAUGCAUGAGGGAGAGAGGAAGUAGAAAGGGAAAGUUAGAUGGAUUUUAGUGCUUCCCAAGAGAAAGUUAAAGGGAAGAAGAGAAAGUCAAGUAGAUUUCUCUAAAUUACAUUUUUACCCUUAAUAUAUAUAAUAAAAAAUAAUUAAAAUUAUUUAAUUUUUUUAAUAUUUUUAAAUAAACUGUACAUAGCCAAAUAAAUAAUAAUAAUAAUAAUGUAAAGUCUUAUUAAUACUAAUAAUAUAAAUAUUAAAAUAAUAAUAAUAUUUAAAAUUAAUUUAUAAAAUAAUAAUAAUAAAUGAAAAUCAAAUAAUUUUAAUAAAGAAUAAUAAUAAUAUUAUUAAUUAUUUUUAUUUUAUUUUAUUUUAUUUAUAUUAAAUAUUAAAAAUUUUAUUAAUAAUAAAAUAUAUAUAUAUAUAUAUAAUUAUUUAUAAAAAAAUAAAUUUAUAUAAUAAUAAAUAAUAUUAAUCAUCUAAAAUACUUAAUUAAUUUUUUAUAUAUUAAAUGAAUUUAUAAUUUUUUUAUUUUUUCAAUCACACUCAUCAUGUUAUUUAUAAAUUUUUUAUGAAAAAAAUAUAAAGAACUUGUAUUUUUUAUAUUUCAUAUUUUAUUAUUUAAAUAUUUUAAAAAUAAGGAUAAAUUUGUAAAUUUACAUUUUUACACAUUAAAAAAAAUAACAUUUUAUCACAACCAUCUCAUCCAUCCAUAAACUUCAACAAACUUUUCUCAUACAUUCACUCUAAUAUACCUCAAUCUAAACAUUCUCAACUUUCUUCACACUUUCUUCAAACUUUCACUCUCCACACCCUCAACUUUCCACUCCCCCACCCCCUAUAAUUCAAACAAAACCUUAGAGUCCAACUUUCUCCAAAAUUUUCAAAUGUUACGUGAGUUACAAAACUGCCUCCUCACGUCACCGUACUGGACAGUUACGAAAACUGCUCUUGCGACGUCAGCCUGAUCACGUUUGCGGCGUCAAAAUGUGUAAUAGUCACAGUGGGUCAGAGAACAUAAUCAUACUUGGAAUGGAAUCUUCUUUAGAAUGGAAUAGUUUUUAAUUUGACCACGUGGCUUACAUCACAAAUAGUACCUACCAACUUGAAAUUUAAAUUAAAACAUUUGUUUUCUUAAGUAUGAUUUUUCUAGAACCGGUCUUACAUUUUCUUUUCUUUUUUCAGAUUGAAUAGAUUAUUAUCGAACCGAACAACUAUUUUUAAGAUUACUCAGAUAAAUAAGUUGUCUGAUGUUGAUACAAUUUUAUCUUAAAAGAAGUUUAUUAUUUGAUACAAUUUUAUCGUAAAUUGUUUUUAUUAUUUUGAUAUAAUUUUAAAAUUAUGAAAGUAAAGUCGUGGUAUAUUAGACUAUUUUAGUAUAACAUUAAUUAUUUUAUUUUAAAUAAAGUUAAAAUUAAAUUACAUUAAAAAAAAUUUGUAGUAGUAAUUAAAGUUGUAUAGAUUAUGUCAAAUUGAUAUAAUUUUAUUUAAAAAUAUUAAUUAACAUUAAUUAAAGUUAUUUUAAGAUUAGUUUAAUACUAAAAUCACGUUAAUACUAUAUUACUUUAUUUUAUUUUUAAAUCAAAGUUUUCUGAAGGUAAUAUAACAUUUUUACUAUGAAGUGAACAUAGUGGUCCAGAUCCACAAAGUUUUACCUUGUAACAUACUCAUAAUAAUAUACAUUGAUUGCAUGUAAUGUGACAAAAUACUAUCAUCAAAAGAAUUACAAAACUUACAAAAUUAAAAGAAGUAUUUAAAAAAAAUGAUGAUAUGGAUUACGAAAUUCAAAAUCAUUUAUUCAAAAGGGUUUGUGUGCACUCAUUUUUAGGGUUUAGGAUUUCCUUUUGCAGGGUUGUCAUUUUGAACACCACCACAAACCCAUCUUAGUUAAAUAUAAGUUAUAUAUAGUCAAUUCUACUCCAAGCAAAUUUAACCAACCAUAUUUUAGGGUGUUCCUUGUUUAAACGGUCUUAUCAAGAAGGUAAAACCCUAUACAAGGGCUACCACUUAUGUAAACAUGUGAGUUUUGUGUUGUUUUUAGGAAAGAUGUUGCAUGAGGUGUGUGUAAAUUGACCUAUAGAAAUAAGAGGUGACCUAUAGAUUCUGCAUACUGAUCAAAUUUUUGAAAAUAUGAGGUUAUUGUUGUUCUUCGGUAGGGUGAUGCAUGAGGUGUAUGUAAAGUGACAUCAGUGGAGGAAACCGAGGAAAAAUUCUCUAAUCUCAGUAUCAAUGUAGGUAGUCACAGUAAGUGGUGACUUGUUAUCAACUCUCUGCACAAUGAACAAAUUCCCAACAUUUUGAGCUUAUUGUUGUUGUUUGGUGGGGUGGUGCAUGAGGUAUGUGUGAAGUGACCCCAGUGGAGGACACCAAGGUGAAUUUCUCUAAUGUCAUUGUUAUCGGUGUACAAUUAUCACGGUGGACCAGUCGAACAUGUAGUUGUGUACAAUAUUUAUAAUUUAUGUUCUAGGUUUGAUAAUUUUAUUUGUUAGUGGGUCUAUGUUACAUUGUUCAAAAUGUUUAAAGUAAUCAAUUUUUCAUUUUUCAUGUGAUAAAUAAAUUUCACAUGUGAUAAACAAACUUUGUUCACCUUAUUUAUCAUCCUCUCUGAACACUGUGCAAAAACUUACACAGGUCACAACAUCCUAAAUCAUUUUUGUGAAUGACCAACACAUUAACAUCAGUCAUACUCAAGUCCAAUUGGUCACUAGUUCAAUAAAUAAAAUCAUUCAUACUAAAAUUAAUCACAAUCUGCAUUUAAGCAUACAAAAAAAUAUUUUGAAUAAAAUUAUAACAAUAUUAUCAAAAGAGUUCAAUUCAAAAGUAUACUUACGAUAAAUAUUUAUUUUAUUUAAUGACAUAUUUAAUUAGACUAAUUUGAGAUUGUAAGAAUAUGAAGAUAGAUAAAUAAAUAACACUUGUUAAAUUGAAAGAAUAUUAUUAUUAAUAUUCACAUUAUUAUUAGUAUUAUAAUUAUUACUAAUUAUGAUUAUUAUUAUUAUUAUUAUUAUUAUUAUUAUUAUUACUAUUAAUAAUAAGAAGAAAUCAAAAUAAAACACAAACUUAAGCUAGAAGAAAAAACAAACCACUUCAUAAAAAUAAAUUUUACAACUAUUGAAAAAAAAAAUCUGACAAAAGAAAAAAAAAUCUAAAAUAAAAAUUGCAAACAAAGAAUUAUAAAAAAAAGACGUAAAUCUUAAAAUAAUAAUAUAUUUUGCCAGAUCAUUACGAGUUGUAUACCGGCGGUGCAUAUAUAAUAUGAUUGUCCAUAUAUUCUUAUCAUAUUUACAUUCUCUUUCUUCCAUUUAGGUAGGCUUUGACCGGUUUCAGGUUUUCAUAGUAUAUUAUAUCCAUUGGUUCACUUGUCCCUGUUUAAUCAUUCCUCAAUCCCCAUAUCUACUUUCUUAUCUUUUCUAAUCUACUUCCUUCUCUCACCACAAAUUCUCACCUCAGUCCAAACAGAGUAUAAAUGCGUGAAAGAAGAUUUAGAAAGUAUAAAUCUCAAAAUCGCGUUCCCUUUUCUAUCAAAAAGCUCUCUUCUUCUGUUAAUUUUUCAGUUUUUGAUAUAUGUCAAACCAGCGGAUGUAAAGUGGUGAAUUCAUUCAACAAUCAGGGCAAAGGCACUCAGGACUUCACUGAUGCCAAAAUCAUACUUAUUGGAGGCUGUUGCUGUUGCUGUACCUCGUUUGUUUUUUCUUUCUUUCUUAGUUUGUUUCUUUUUUUUCUGUUUUUGGUCUUUCUCGGGUACUGGUUCUCCCAAUCAGACGUCGACGAAUUCCUCUUCACUUCUAAAUCACCAGACGCCAACAAGGGUUUUAGAUUCUCCAUAAUCAUUUACCAUUGUUGACGACAAAGACAUUAAUGGAAGCUUCUUCCACCACCGGAUCCAAUUCUGAUGACGUCUUUGUAUCUUCUCCUUUUGGGUGUCAACUAUUUUUCCAAUUAAAGUUUUGAUUGCACUCUCCUCAGACUAUGUGGAGCUUUUAUGUGCCAAUUGAAGUUUGAUCCACAAGUAACCAGGAAUUCAGUUGUUAAUGCUAACUACAUCAAGUUAUUUACCUGUAAGUACUUUCUUUCACCUUAGACUCUUUAAUCUCUUAUCUUGAUAAAGUUAUCUUUCUUGUGAGACUAUUUUAGUGUACCAGAAUCGUAACCAAGUAGCUAGAGGGCCUACAGUUCUUGUUUAUGGGCUAUUCUCUGUUUUAAUAUAUACUUGAAAACCAGUUAUGUAUUUCGGCAUUAUGCUUGAGUGGUUUGGGAUGUGAUAUGGUUGUUUCCUUAUGAUUUUUUUCCCCAUUCCCGUGGUAAUGGUCAAGAUAGUUCUGUUUUCCCCUGUAUUUGCUGUUUUCCCCUGUAUUUUUAAGUAUUGUGAAUUUCGACAAGGGAAAACAAAACUGUCUCGUGGCAGCACAAGAUGAAUCUAAAAAUUUAAUUUUGCUUUAAAUAAAAUUUAUUCUUAAAUACCUCGUGAUGCAGAAAAUGAAUGGACUUAGUUUCUAGAUGUGUUCACGUUUAACAUCAAAAUAUUCACAGAUAGCUUUGAGAUCUAUUUUUUCCUAAUUUAAUACUUUAUCUCACCUGAUUUUGUUACUCUAAAUGGUUAAAAUAUGAUAAAUUGGUAAUAUAUUUUAAAAAUGUUUUUAGUGAUUGUUCCAACUAAGAAAUGUGAGGGCCUUCAUUCAUUUAUUUAUUUAUUUUGGUUUUGAAAGUCGUAUUUAUGACUUUUUUUACUUUGUAAUUCCUUUGCUAAAGGUUUAAGAUCCUGAUUUUUUUUCUAUAUUAUUUUCCAUGUCUAUUGAUUUAUUUUUUCUAUUAUUUUGUUGGUUUUAUUAAUUUUAUCUUAAUUUAAUGAUAUAGGAUCAUGAUUCUUGAAUUAGGGUUUAUUGAUUUACUUUUAAAUUUGUUUCCAUAUUAUUAUUUAACAUAUUUAUCACUACUUGAUUAGGAUAGAACUUGAUCCACCAAAUAUUUUCAUUCUGUAAUACAUUGUCAUGAUAGAUUGGAUUCCUACUUAUAAGUACAGAGUCUUCUAGUCUUAAACCAGAAGAUUAUUAGGAUUGAUCAGAACUUUAAUACAAUAAUAUAAAAAAAAAUAUUAUUUUUAGCAUUUUUGAAUUCCCUCUAUAUGUUCAUGUAUUGUCUGCAUCAAGUACUCACUUACUAAUUGUUUUAUAUUUUAAAUUUGAUGUUUCAGGAAGCCAAAGUAUUGGACCAAGUGCCAUAACAAACUCAUUCAACAACGAGAGUGAAGGCACACGAGAUUUCUUCAAUGCAAGAAUCAAAAUUGAAAGGUGUAGCUGUGCCUCAGCUAGUAGAGUCAGAGUCAGACUGAUAGCAAACUAAUUCAACAACAAGGGCAAUGGCAUUCAGAACUUUAGCAAUGCCACAAUCAUAAUCAUGGCCAACUGUUGUGGCUCACUUGGUUUGCAGGGUAUCAUAUUUUACUGCGUCUUCCUUAGAGUUCUUGUUGCAGUACUGCUUAUCCCAACUAGGGAUCAACAUCUCCAUCUAAGAAUAUUGGAUUCAACUCGAUCCAAGGUCUGUCAAUUCUCCUUCAAGGGGGCACUCCACUCGCCAAUAACAUUCAUUUAUGAUUCUCCAUAAUCUUCUCACCUACCAUGUCUAUGUCUUCUACCACCAGAUCCAAUUUUCGUCACAGCUUUGUAUGUUCCUCUUUCACUCAACCUGUUCAUUUGUAUUAAAAUUUUCUAUUUAAAAUAUAUAUGAACAUGCAUGCUCUUGUUCUUGUGCUCAACACUAGAGUUAAAAAUAUUCCAAGAGAAUCUCCAAGUACUAAAGAUCUACAUUGAGGAAUAUAAAAAGGAAGAAAAGUAUUAAACUAAGAAUGAAGAGUUGAUGCAAUUUUAUUCGUAUAUAAAUUACAUUAGAAAGUUUGCGACAGUUUUAUCCUAACAAAAUAUUUCUCUUACUUAUUGUCAAUAUAUAAGACCUGAGGUAACUAAACUAAAAGUGUGCUUUUAUCUUAUUGUAUGAUUCUCAACAUUUGUGAGAAUUCCAACUUUAUGUCAAUUUAUGCAUGAAUGAAGGACAAAAUUCCCAACAUUUGUGAGGAUUCCAACCGUAGGGAUAUCGUGUGCGGAAGCGUAAUAAUUUCAACCAAAGAUUAUGAGAAAUUAAAGUAACAAGUAAGUGAUAAUGAUACCAGAAUUUUUAGGUGGAAAACCCCUUUAAAUAGAGGUAAAAAACCACCGACGAGAGAGCCAAAAUUUCCACUAUAAUGGUACUGGAAGUACAAUGAAUUCCUCUCAAGCUAAUGAUAAAUAGUCCCAAAACAAAAUUCUCACUAUAUGGGUUAAACACUUACACCCAAGAGCAGAAAUAGAGAGCAUAAGGAAAAGAGAGAGGAAGCAAGUGUGUGUUGUUGUUUGCUGUGUGUUACAUUGCUUAAAGGAAGCCACUAUAUAUAGUGAUUCUAGGAGACAACAAUAAUAAAUACAAUUAAUGGUAAUUAACUUCCCAUUGAUUGCACUUGAUUGUGACAAUUAACCUCCCAUUAAUUGCAAUUGAUUGCGGCAAUUAACCUCCCUUUAAUAACAAUUAAUUGUCAACGGUAAGUAACCUCUCAUUUAUGCCAAGAUAACGGUAAAGGUGAGUCAUAACCCACAAAUCUCCACCUUGACUUGCCUUUGACUGGAACACUCUUUCGCCAUGAAGUCUUGAUUAAGUAUGGAUAAUACUAGCUAAGUUCAGGCAAUGAUCGAACUUAGCCGAUGGAAGUGGCUUGGUCAACAUGUCUGCAAGAUUUUCUGUCGUAUGAAUUUUUUCAACAAUUAUAUCUCCUGUAUCAACAAUGUCUCGGAUAAAAUGGUGUUUAAUUACAAUGUGCUUGGUCCUUGAGUGAUACUUACUUUUCCUGGUCAAGUGGACAACACUCUGACUAUCACAAAAUAUAACAAGAACAUCUUGUUGAAGACCAAGUUCACUUACCAAGCCUCGAAGCCAUAUAGCCUUUUUCAUACCUUCUGUAGCAGCAAUAUAUUCUGCUUCAGUGGUGGACAAAACCGCAAUGGCUUGAAGUGAAGAAUACCAGCUGAUAGCAGACCCACAUAGGGUAAAGAUGUAAGCUGAAAGUGACCUUCUCCGAUCUAAAUCACCACCAUAGUCAGCAUCAACAUAGCCAACUGCUCCCCCGGGAUCGGCUCUAUGUUGAUCAAAUACCAAACCAAGAUCUGGAGAACCUUUCAGAUAACGAAGUAUCCAUUUAACGGCUUCCCAGUGUGCCUUGCCUGGAUUAUGCAUGAACCUGGUAACAAUGCUAACAGCAUAAGCUAAAUCAGGUCUAGUACAUACCAUUGCAUACAUGAGACUUCCAAUUGGAUUUGAAUACGGGACAUGUGACAUGCGUCUUUUGUCCUCGUCUGAUUUUGGACAUUGAUCUGAUGACAACUUGAAGUGGGCGGCAAUUGGAGUAUUAACAACUUUGCAAUCUCGCAUUCCAAAUUUGUCAAGCAUCUUAAGAACAUACUUCUUUUGUGAUAGAAAAAGUUUUCCAACUUGACGAUCUCUGUUGAUCUCCAUUCCCAAAAUUUUCUUGGCAGGACCUAAGUCCUUCAUAUCAAAUUCACUGCUAAGUUGGGCCUUUAACUUGUUAACUAAAAAUUUAUCUCUUGCAGCAAUCAACAUGUCAUCAACAUAUAACAACAAGUAUAUAAAUGACCCAUCAUAUGUCUUUUGAAAAUAGACACAAUUAUCAUAGCUACUUCUGGAGUAGCCAUGUCCAACCAUGAAAGAAUCAAACCUCUUAUACCAUUGUCUUGGUGAUUGCUUCAAGCCGUAGAGAGAUUUCUUCAGACGACAUACAUGGUCCUCCUUUCCAGGAACAACGAAGCCCUCAGGCUGCUGGAUGUAAAUCUCUUCCUCAAGAUUACCAUGAAGAAAAGCAGUUUUCACAUCUAACUGUUCCAGUUCCAAAUCAUACAAGGNNNNNNNNNNNNNNNNNNNNNNNNNNNNNNNNNNNNNNNNNNNNNNNNNNNNNNNNNNNNNNNNNNNNNNNNNNNNNNNNNNNNNNNNNNNNNNNNNNNNNNNNNNNNNNNNNNNNNNNNNNNNNNNNNNNNNNNNNNNNNNNNNNNNNNNNNNNNNGAUCCACUUGCAACUAAUGACUCGUUUUCCUUCUGGUAACUUCACCAAUUCCCAUGUUUCGUUUUUUAGAAGACUCUCAACUUCUUCUUGCAUAGCAGCAAUCCACUUUGUUGAGUCAUCACCAGAGAUAACUUCAGAGUAAUUCUUGGGUUCACCUUCUUCACCCAUCUCUUGUGCAAUAGUUAAAGCAUAAGCAAUGUUGGCAGAUUCUGCAAUUAAUCUUUGAGUCGGUUUUCUUGGUCUCUGUUGUGGAAGUUCUUGAGCCAUAAACCACGAUUGUGGUAAUCCUCGUCGUUUAGGUGGACAUUGCUCAUUUGGACUCAAAUGUUCACUUGUACCAUCAAUAGUAGUGACUUGACCAUCUUGAGUACUGGAGGAAUUGGAAACGUCUUCCUCAUGAGCGGGUGUUUUAAUCUCAAACUCCACCUUCUCUCGAGCAUCUUCCUGGUCACCUAUAUCAAUUGAGGAAAUGACAGUAUCUUUUACAGAAGAGAGCAUAGCAUUUUCAUUAAAGGUCACAUUCCGACUGUGAAUUAUUUUGUGAGAUUCUGGGUCAUAUAAACGAUAGCCUUUAACCCCUAAGCCAUAACCCAAGAAAAUGCACUUCUUAGCACGAGGUUCUAAUUUUCCAUCGUUUACAUGAGAAUAAGCAGGGCAACCAAAUAUUUUAAGCUUAGAAUAAUCAACAGGGUUACCUGACCAAACUUCUUCUGGAAUGUUGCAAUCAAUUGAUCUGUUAGGAGAGCGGUUUAUCAGAUAACAUGUCGUUGAAGCCGCUUCAGCCCAAAAAGAUUUGCUCAAACCAGAAUGGGAGAACAUGCAACGAACUCUCUCCAGGAUAGUUCUAUUCAUUCUUUCUGCAACCCUGUUCUGAUGUGGAGUACUUGGGAUGGUGAAGAGUCUGGAAAUGCCUUCCUUCUUGCAGAAAUCAUUGAAUUCAUUCGAACAGAACUCAAGGCCAUUGUCUGUCCUUAACCUCUUUAUCUUCUUGCCAGUCUGAUUCUCAAUCAAUAAUUUCCACUCUUUAAAAGUGGAAAAUGCUUCAUUCUUAUGUUUGAGAAAAUACACCCACAGUUUUCGUGAGAAGUCAUCAAUAAUUGUCAUCAUAUAACGACAUUUACCUCUGGAGGGAACUUUUGACAGACCCCAAAGAUCCGAAUGAAUAUAAUCCAAAGUACCUUUGGUUCUGUGUAUGGCUUUAGAAAAACUAACAUUUUUCUGCUUACCAAAAAUGCAAUGUUCACAAAAAUCAACCUUUCCAGUACAGUGGUUAUCAAGGUGACCCUUCUUCUUGAGGAUUAGAAUUCCCUUCUCACUCAUGUGGCCUAAUCUCAUAUGCCACAACUUGGUGUUAUCUUUGUUGGGUGAGGCAACAGCUGCAGAACCUGUAACAGUUGAACCCUGCAGCACAUACAAACUAUCACAUCGAAUUGCCUUUAGUAACACAAGAGCUCCUUUAGACACUUUUAGAACUCCACCUUCAGCUGAGUAUCUACACCCAUGAGAUUCAAGGGUGCCUAAGGAAAUGAGAUUCCGUUUCAACUCAGGGACAUAUCUGACACCUGUUAAAGUUCUAACAAUUCCAUCAUGUGUCUUGAUUUUGAUUGUUCCUUCACCAACAACUUUGCAUUGAGCAUCGUUUCCCAUCAAAACAAGACCAUUAUAAACUGGUGCAUAUGUGGUAAACCAAUCUCUAUUAUGAGACAUGUGAAAAGUACAACCAGAAUCAAGAAUCCAUUCAUUUUUAGACCUUUGUUCAGUGUUGGAAGCUACAAAACAAUCGCCAUCAGAUUCGGUUUCAACAAUACUAGCUUCAGCAGAUUUUUCUGGUUGUUUACCAUUUCCCUUAUCUUCUCUAUCUUGCUUAUUUUUCAAUUUAUAGCAUUCAGAGAUCUCGUGUCCCUUUUUCUUGCAAUAACAACAAUAUUUGGAGUUCUUGCCUCUAGAUUUUGACCUAGAUUUAUACUUAUUGUUCCUACCGUUCUUUUGGUUUCUCCUUCUAACUACUAAACCUUCACCAGAACUUUCAGAAUGAAAGUGAGUAUCAAAUUUUUCUUUGGCUAGUAAAUUAGUCUUGACAUCAUCAAAGCUUAAGGUAAUAUAAUUACCGUAUAACAUAAUUUCUUUGAAUUGUCAAUGCGAGGGUGGUAGAGAAACAAUAAGCAGAACGACUUUAUCCUCAUCAUCAAUUUUAACAUCCAAAUUUUCCAAAUCAAUUAUGAUGGAAUUAAAUUCAUCAAGGUGAGAUUGGAUGGGAGUACCUACGGACAUUCGAAGUGUAAAAAAUCGCUCCUUUAACCGGAGUUUGUUUGCAAGACUUUUGGUCAUGUAUAGAGACUCCAAUUUACUCCAUAUGUCUGCUGUAGUUUUCUCGUUGAUGACCUCACGCAACACCUCACGGGACAAACAUAACUGGAUUACAGACAAUGCCUUUUCAUCCAUCUCAUCCCACUACUCCUCCGUCAUAGUGGUUGGUCUCAUCAUUUUACCUGCCAGAACUUUCUUUAAACCAUUCUGGGUGAUUUUACCAUCAAAUUUCUCAAUAUCCAAUUUCGACAUUAUUGAACAAUAGAUCAUGGUUGAGUUGUCGAAAAGCUCUGAUGCCAAUUUGUAGGGAUAUCGUGUGCGGAAGCGUAAUAAUUUCAACCAAAGAUUAUAAGAAAUUAAAGUAACAAGUAAAGUGAGAAUGAUACCAUAAUUUUUAGGUGGAAAAUCCCUUUAAAUAGAGGUAAAACACCACCGGCGAAAAAGCCAAAACUUCCACUAUAAUGGUACUGGGAGUACAAUGAAUUCCUUUCAAGCUAAUGAUAAAUAGCCCCAAAACAAAAUUCUCACUAUAUGGGUUAAACACUAACACUUACACCCAAGAGCAGAAAUAGAGAGUAUAAGGAAAAGAGUGAGGAAACAAGUGUGUGUUGUUGUUUGCUGUGUGUUACAUGCUUGAAGGAAACCACUAUAUAUAGUGGUUCUAGGAGACAACAAUAAUAAAUACAAUUAAUGGUAAUUAACCUCUCAUUGAUUGCAAUUGAUUGUGGCAAUUAACCUCCCAUUAAUUGCAAUUGAUUGCGACAAUUAACCUCCCUUUAAUAACAAUUAAUUGUCAACGGUAAGUAACCUCUCAUUUAUGCAUGAUAUAAAUGAAUGACAAAAGUUUGAGUAAAAAGUUUCUUUAUAUAUGUGUUUUAUAUAUGUGGGUCCUGGUUUGAUUAUUGAUAUCUAGGAGAUACUUUCUAAAAUAUCUAACUAGAAUAUUCUGAAGAGUUUCGUAGUUUUUUUUUUAUGAUGAAAGGUGUAUUUUAUAGGUUGUGGAUGUUUUUCUUUUUUACUCUCAGAUCCUAAACAAUACCAUCUAUUCUUUAAGGUUAAGUUUGUAUUAUCCUUAAUAAAUUUCAAAUACGGAGUUAUUCCAUACUCUCUUUCUUCUUCUUAAGACUCUGUUAGUUUUAUUAUAUUUGUAUAUUAAUGAUUAGUAUAUCAUAAGUGAGGUAAUAUGGAAAAUGCUUUCUCUACCAAAUUGUUAUCUUCAACUAACUUUUGACCUAAAUGCAAUUUCAAGGUAUAUGUAUUGUAGUUUAUCCACCUCUGAAAGGUUCUUAAUACAUGUCUUUUGAGACCUGAUGUUGGGUUUCGGUAAUUGAGUCAGCAAAUGGGCUUAAUCCAUUAAAUUGUGCCCAAAUCCUUCAUACAUGGUUUUGAACAUUUUGUUUGGUAUAUUUGGGAUUAACUUUAACUCCUUAUGAUUUAAGAACAGGUUAUUCUAGUAACAUGACAUUUUAUAUAAUACAUGCUAAAAUAUUAUUAUAAAGAUUCAGUGAAAUUUUUGAAGUUUGUGUACACGUUGAAGGCAUUGUCCUGACUAACUAAUGGUUUUAUAUUUGAUGUCUUACAGGAAGCCGAAUUAUUGAACGCGGUGUCGUAAACUCAUUCAACAACGAAAUGGGUUACAGGACUUCAGCAAUUCAACAAUCAUCGUUGGAAGCUAUAGUUGUACCUCAACUUGUGUGGAACUGAAGACUCAUCAAACUAGUUUGAUUAAACAAAACAUUGAAACUUGAUAGAGGCAUGUUAAACCUUUGAGAUGAGGCCAUAAUGUUUUCAAACAGUUAUAGACUGAAGAACCCUUUGGAAAACAAAGUAGCCAUUAGCCAAUAGGGUUGAAGAAAGCUCAAUUUUUGAAAAUCUUUCAUUCAUGCUGAUUGUUGAUUGUGUUUAGGCACUUUUAGAUGAAUUUGAUAGUUGAGUGGUUCCCAUAAGCAGAUCCAAUUUGUAUUUUGAUUAUUUAAAUGCACACCAAUCUUCUUUCACAUAUAUUCAAAUUAAUUUAUGAUGUACCACAUGUUUACCAGGCACAAUGGUUCUUUCUUACAUAGGUAGGCACAUGUUUGGCUUCCUUCAAAUCAACACUCCUUGUUUCUAUUUUUUUUAAUUAAAUA
RNAcentral lists this long non-coding RNA (46257 nucleotides) under Phaseolus vulgaris (common bean). Its description in RNAcentral is "long non-coding RNA (PVUL_LNC002056)". The record is from RNAcentral. Lineage: Eukaryota; Viridiplantae; Streptophyta; Magnoliopsida; Fabales; Fabaceae.